UUCCUUUUUUUUGGUGGAGAUUUGUUCAUAGAACCAAUUACAACAGAACUAACACUCGGUUGGAUUUGCAUUUUUCUUAGUUUAGUUUUCGAUAAAAGAUUUCCAUAUCGCAUAUUUAUAUUAAAUCAAUAGAUGUAUCAGGCAUGGUAUGUGUCUGUACACCAUUUCUUUCGCUAUAAAACUAUGGUAAAUUAUUGUAUAGUUUCACCCUAUUAAAUUACUUUAUUAUGAUAAAUAAAUAUAGUUUGACACAUAUUUGAAGGGUUUUUCCAAUUUUAUUUCUCCCUUGGAAAAUCAUCUUAAGCAUUUGUUGUGUCCAAAUGGUAGAACAGAUGAAAUUAUAGGUUGAUUAUCUGUCGAUUAGUAGGUAAUCGAACAUUGUCUUAAUAUUAGCCUAUUUAGGUAGUUUACUAUAUUUAGGGGAUUUUACCUUAUUGUUAAUUUUACGAUUCCUUGCUUGUAUAUAUAUGCCCACACUGCUUUCCUAUGAGUCAUCAUGUUUUUCUUUAUCGUUGUUUUUCAUCUCUAUUACUACUUUGAUUUACUUCACUUGAAUGAAAGGUCUUUUAACCUCCAAAAAAUAAAGGAAAAGUUUGUGUACACUCUCCCCUUGGGACCCCGUUUUGUAAAAUUUAGUAAAAAAAAUAUCGUAUUUUUGUUUAGUUGAGUAUUUUCUUUAAUGCAUAGUUAUAAUCUUAGGGUUCAAAACUUGAAAUCAACUUGUGCAUCUCUCGUGGGUAACCUUGUCCAUCAAAAUUGUAGAAACAAGAAUUAAUCACCUUGUGUACUACUUUUUAGUUUAGUAAUUUAUCUACUCUUAAAGUCAACUUUUUUUAUUUAAGAGUAACAAUUAUGAAAAACUUUUCAAUGUGCAAAAGUUGAUUUGUAUUUUUAAAAUCCAAGAGUGUUGUUCUAUUCUCUAAAAGAUACUAAUCAUGAAUCAAUCAUCAACAAAAAAGGGGCAAAAUGGAGAGUGAUGGUCACAACUCAUAACUUAACUUUGCACCACUUUUUAAUAAUUUAAAAGUUACAAUCCACCAAAAGAUCUUCCCCCUCAAAAGAACAACAGCAUUAUUCAUAACUCACACAGUUUUUUAAUAAUUUAAUUUCUUUGGUUGCUAAUAGCCUGUUGUGUAAAAGUAUUUCUGAUAAAAUAUCAUGAUCAUGUUGGAAUAGGAAAUAAACCAGCAUAUGAUGUUUAACCAAAGUGCAAUCAGAUUAACACUCAAAAAGCUCAACUAAGUCAUAUCAGUGAGAUAACAUAUGGUUAGUGGAGUAAUUACAUAGUGAAAGUUCAUCCAAUAGGAGACAAAUCCACAAAUAAGGUUAGCAUUAAUAUAAAGAAUUUUUACCACAAGCCACUGAUUAUCCUGAUAUGUCCUCUAUUAUUCCUUUGCCAUCCAUGGCAUCAAACAAGAAAAAGUUUUUAAGAGGAUCACCUUUUCCAGAUAUUGCUUUUAUAACCUCCUAUAAGGAUAAAAAUAAAAGGAACACAUAAGCGAAAAAGUCGAGAGGUGCCAAUAGUAUUUUUGAACAAGACAGCAGCAUAAUCACCUGUCCAAGGACUCCUCCUAUAAUGGCACAAACUGAAGGAAAUUCAACUCUAGCUGCUAACAACCUUUGCAGGAGAGGAACCGGGAUCUGAGAUUCAUUUAUGCACUGCAAAUCAAGAGGCAGUUUCGUCAAGGACUUGCAGGUGAUGCAUUACAUUAAUAUAUUUGUGCAUUUCGAACUCUGGAAUAUACCUGUGCCUCACAAAGUUCCUUCCUCAAUUUCAGAACAUUUGGAAGGUCAUCUCCGGAAGUAUCUUGAGGAUUUUGCUUUUCAAGCACUUCAAACCUCUCUAGAACUGCAAAGAAUUACCAGUCCACAAGUCAAGGACAAGACACUUGAGUAAAUUUACUGUUGCACUUAAGGUAUGCAUCAAAAUGUAAAUUAGUGGGCUUCCUAUAACAUUGUCACCAUAAUAAUUUCAGCAAAACCAACACCAAGAUGGCUACUUAAAUUAUUUUUGGGGUCCAGGCUACCGAAAAAUGGAAUAUUACCUAGAUUGUUACCACUAACUAUAAUCACCACAGAUAAUAUAAUUUUGUAAUUUCAGAAGGCCACAUCUAUCAUAUGUGUGGAAGAACAUAAAAAUCAUAAUUCUGGAAAGCACCCCGUCAUAUUCUCAUUGGUAAUUGAUGCCUUUUGCAGCAAGCUAUUGGAAUUUGAACACCAGAAAUAGGCAGUUAUCUUGUAAUAUGAGCUUGUAGAUUAGAAGAAUGGUGGUUGCGGGAAGGGGGAGACCAGGAAAUAGUGCUGGAUCCUCUCUAAAAGUGAGCGCAUUGGUUCAUGUUCUACAUUCCUAAUAUCAAAGUCGAAGCAAAGAUCCAGAGAACUUAGACAUGUCACAUAGCGAUUGGUUUGACUGCAACCCACUGAUCUCUCCUGUUCUUGUAACUAUAUAGCUGGAAAUUCACAUCGACAUUCACACACCAGAUAGCAAAAGUGGAUUUAUAGAGCAUCUUUAAAUCUGCAUAAGAAAUUACAACAACCUGAGAAAUAGAGUACCUCUCAUGGCAAAAUAUAGCUUUGACAUUCUCUUGGGUAGAGAUCUCCACGGGACUGCAAUGGCUUCCUGCAGAAGUGUAGGUAAGGCAAUCGCCAUUUGAAAUGAAAAUCUGAUGAAAUACUCUGGAACAGAGAAACCUUAUUAACUUCAGGUUAAACCAUCACGAUUUAGUAAAUCCCGGAAAGACCAGCUAUAUGUUUGUUUUUUUCAAGCCUUCUUAUCUAAUUUUGAAUGCUAAAGGGGAUUACAAGAAUAUUUAGCAUAUGUUACACUGUUGCCUCUCCUUAUAGAAUAUUAUGCCUUUAAACGUGUACCUGUUCCAAGGAAUUCCAAACAAAAUGGUCUAUUAUUUUUUUUGGGACUGUGAAAUCCCUUAAGGUUUUAAAUCUAAAUGCAAUCAUUAUGUCUUCAGUGAUGCCUGAACUGGUGUUGCAGGACUUCAUCAUGCUGAUACUGGACAUUGUUACAUGCUAAGGUGGAUUAUUUGAUGUCUGGUGAUGGUUGUGAAGAAAAUGGAAGUGAUGAAACACAAUGCACCUAAGAACCCUACCAAGCAGGUGUUGAGGUGUUAACCAAGGGAACUAAUAAUGCAAAUUGCAAGGAUGUUGUCUCUAGGUCGAAUCAAUUCUUUCCUUGAACUACUAUAUAUAGGCAGAUCGUUAGGAGGCUCUUGUUACUUCGAAAUGAGAAGGUUACACUCACCAAAAACUUUGCCCAACUCUACAGAGUGUAGACAAUCACAUAGGCAGCUAAGUGUUGCCAUUUAAAAGCUGCCAGAUACUGGUGACAAGCUUCAAAGCUACCACAUAUAUGUUAGGAUGUUAAGCAGAUGAAUAUCAUCCAUCAGACUUUGAAUAGUGCCAAAACAAGGUACUUAAAGAAAAAAUCAAAAAGCUGUGCUGCCACAAAUUGAAUGGGAAAUUCAUGUUUGAAAACAUCACAGACGUUAGGCAAUGAUAUAAACCACCAUGCAGCUGGACUGAAGCAAAUUGAUCUGUUUAGAAACAACAUACAGAGAUCCAUACGGUUUCAGCUAUAAAAUAUGAAACAAUAAGUGACAGCUGCAAUCACCUAUUAUUCAUAAGCAUACAUAUGAUAUCCACUAAGCAGAUAUGUUGUCAUUAACUUAGGUGGAAAACCAGCCAUAGGGAUGAUGACUUCGACUUAUCUGAUAUUUGCUGAGACUGCUAUCUUAAAAAUAAAAAUACAGAUAAGAGUAUAAUCUCAUCGAUACAGUUGAGUAAAACAGCACAGCAGCUAAACAGGACCAAAUGUUCUUUUUUGAUACUUUGAUGCAGCAUACCUCAAAACUCGGAUACUGUAGUUGGCAUUCAAUUGUUUCUUCAUUCUUUUUCUGCAGAAGCAUAAGAAGGGAUUUAAGAGAUUCAUCAGAUCUAGCAAUAUGAUACACAAGAUAUAGGCCCUCAAGAUAAAAGGUACACCUAUGUGUGGAAAGGACUAGAUUGAACUGAAGAAAAGGGUCAAAAGAAGAUAACUCAAGCUGUAUAAUCAUUAAACAUGGAGACACUCUAUCUAAGGAUGAAAUCCAACUGAAAAAGAAGGGGACUAUAAAAAAUAUAAAUAUUGUUGUAACCUUGGAGUAGCUCUGCAAGUCAACAAAUAUCUCACCGCAGGAAUCUCGGCAUUCUACAGAAUAAAAUGCGACACGUCUUGGCAACUUGCGACACUUUGCAUUAACCGAUUUCUGCAUAGGGAGCAUUAUCAAAAUUAAAAUCAUAAAAAAAACUGGUAUUUUCAUUGGAAAAAUCCUCUUAUUUAUUUUCAACAAGCAAGAAGAAUGUCCAUACUUUUGUCAGCAGCGAGCAGCAACUGAUGACAACAGCAUCAAACUUCUGAAAGAAUUCAACAUCGAAGUUGGCCAGAACACCUAAAAAUAGAGCAUAUGAGACAUAAAAAUGAAAUCUUUGAUGCAUUGACACAAUCUGAUUCUGAGAAAUAGAUAUAAGGUGCUUAACAUGCACCUGACACUGCAUAUCAUCAAAACCCAAUAGAGAUAUAGCUAAGAACUCGAGUCGGAAGUGAAAUGUUAGGAACUUUCUUAAUGCACCUUUUUAUAUGAUUUGAGAGUAUAAAAAGAGUUAACUAUCUGAUAAGCAUAAUAUGCAUAACAGUUAUAUGUGUUAGGAAAAAACAAAAAUAAGUGGAAAAUUAAGCCAACUUACGAAAUCAUUACAAGAUCAAAGAACGACAAAAAGCGGAAAUGCACUGGUGUUUGAUGAGUUAAGAGGAACUAUGCAGGUUAAAGAGUUUGUAAAUAAAUUAUAGUACAAACAGAUCCAAACCUUUUUCAACAGAAACAGUAACCAUGGGGUUGAAAUCUUUCAGUGAUUCACAACAAAGCUCAGCAAGUGAUUUCCCACUGGUCACAUUUUCAUCAGAAGGAACUAAAAAAUUAGCAGACAGUAGCUCUUCUGUUACAAGUCGAUCAUCAUUUAGCGUCAAACUACCGACUCCGGCUAAGACAAUGUUCUUGCAGAACUGGGAAAGAAAAAGGAGAAAAAAGAAGUUAAUAUAAUCUGAAGUUGCUCAUUUUGAAUUUAGCAUCUGGAACUGAAAAUAUUAUAUUGAAACUUAUCCUAUCAAAGGGCCAAGAAGCAUGAUGUAUACAGUUUAUGCUUUGGACAUAAUCCAAUUCCAUCAAUAACAAACGACAGAAAAGUUCUAUUGAUAAAUAAACAUAAUAACAAAUAUGGCAAUAAACAUUUACUUCAAAAAGUGAUUAACUGGUAGUUUUGUACCUCAAUAACAGUCCCUUUCAGUCCACUGACAAAUAUAUGAGAUUUGCUCAACCUGACACAAAUAAGAAGAUAGUAGAAUCUUUUAUAAAAAUGAAAGAACUAGAUGGGUCUACUAGAUAUCUAACUAAAAUAUUGUAUAUGUCAUUCCCUUGAAGUUAGAAUACUGCUUUUAAAAGUAAAAGUAAGUCAUAGGAUGAGCACACAUUCCAUUUUCCCUUCAAGUGAACCACAGGACAUGGAUGUCCCUCUUCCUUCAUAACAAAAAAAUUACUUGCCAUAAGCACAUGAAAACCCUGGUUCCACUAUUGAUACUAAGGACACCAAGCUCAUACACAUGUAUGUAAAGUAAACAUCUAUCCUCAACAACAAUGUGUUUGUGAUGCAUUAUCAUACUGGUUGCCUGUGUAAAAUCACAAAAAUGAGUGAAGAAGAAUACCUUCGCUGAGCAUCAACACCCCAAACCCUAAUUUGGCGAUCAUAUAUGGCAGUUUCUUGCUCUGUCAAUUCCUCACCUACUUUUCCCAUUGCAACCUAUAAUUUCAGCAAAAAAAAACAUACUAAGUGAAGAAACAAACACAAUAUCCACAAACUUAUAGCUCAAUUCUCAGUUCAUCUUUGUCCAUCUUCCUCGAAGCUCCUACUGAAAUUGAACUAAGCAAACAAACUAAAUCUCUUAAAAAAAGCAAUUUUUUGGUGCAUUAAUCAAAGCAAUUUAUAAGCAAAACAAAGAGAAGAAGUGAAAGAACAGGCAAAGGAGAGAGCUUACACUGUGAGAGAAACCGAGGAAAAAAAUUGUUUAUCAGACGAGAACUAAGCAUCAAUUGUUUCCUUUUUCUUCUUUUUUGAAUUGCAAUUAGUUCGAUCAAACUUAUAUAGUUGCUUAUGAAGCAUAGUUUUUUAAAAAUAAUUUUCUAGAAACUAAGAUAAAUAGAAAGUAUAAGGAUAUUAUUUAACACUUUGUUUAAAUAGUUAAAUGUGAUAAAUUAUAUUUUAAUUUGUGCAGGACUUCUAUAGUUUCAGUAAACAAAUUUUCACAAGUGGAUGAACACAUUUUUUUUUAUUUGUACAUAUCAUAAUAUUUUUUGCAAGUUCGUUAUUAUGGAACGAAAUGUAUCGUGUUUAAAGCUUGAUAACUUCAUGUUCACAUAUGAAAGUGUGGUGUUGUGAAGAUCUAACAUUCAGAGCUUACGCCUAAUUUUUAGUAUGAUUUGUUAGUUUAAAUUUAUUUUUUAAAACUUAAAUUCAUGUGAUAAAUCGAUCAAUUGACGAGAACCAAGGGCUUCGAUUUUCCAGAAUCACAUUUGAUUAGACUAAAGAACUUCAAAUUUUCUCACACUCUUCUUUACUACCAUUUCACAUGUUUGUAAAAUAUAUAGUAACAGCCAUUGACUUUGCACGUUUAAUUAUUUGAGCAGGUUGCCCUUCAUCUGCAUAUUAAUAACAGAACGGAAUAUGAUUUGGUGUAAACAUCAGCUACGAGUAAGUAUUUUAACUAUAAGUCCUGUGAAGUAAUUUCUUCAAUCAUACUUAUGGGACUGGAUGUAGAAUAUCUGCAAAAUGAACCUUUUUUCACUGGGAAAAAAUGUGAACACUAGAGUGUGAGACAUAUUACUGUUGAUUGAUUGGGAGAAGGUGAUUAAGCAAGAGCAUAUGGUGCCAUUGUCUUAAUGCUGAUUUGGACCACUGUGCUGCAUUUUUCUCCUAGCAAUGUAACCUCGGAGCCAAGGAGUAACAUCCUCGUUGAUCUUGAUCAUGAAGAAGAAGAUUACGCGGUAGAUGAUUAUCAAGGAGAAGAUGGCACUUAGAUCCACCCAUUUUGAUCUGUUCACGUCAAUCUGGAAUAUCUGUUUUAGCGCGUAUUCACCUGUGAUCUUGGGAGGAUGAGGACUAUGGUUAUCAAAUAUCAACCCCUUCAAGUCAUUUUUGUAUUGCCCCUACAGAAACCACCAAAUUAGAGUCAAAAUAAGACUGGACAGAUCUCAACAGAUUUUCCAUCAAAGGACUACUACAUCUACAUCCUCAUAAAAGCACGGAAUUGGUCUGAACAUGCCAAGUUGGUGCCUAUAAAGCAUGUAGUUUCGUAUUUAUAACUUGUAUAUGAUAAAAUCAUUUAUGAAAUUAGUGCAUUACGUUAACUGCUAAGGCUACUACUGAUUCUACUUAUUAUGGACUGUUACGUGUAAUUAUCAUUAGGCUCGGGUGAUCUAAACAUUUCCAUUGUGAGUUACCAACAGGUAAAAUGUGCAGCAAAUUUUUACCUGUACAGCCCAGAAAUCAAAAGUCAAGUAAGACACCGGGUAACGCCAGACAGGUUUUGGUAUGUCAUAGGGGAGUCUGAAGAACCCAGAGACCAGCAUAGAUAUUCCCUAACACAGAAACAUACACAAUUUAGGUGUAGACAAUGGUAAGGAUUAUAAUUUUGCAUUCCAACAUAAGCAAAAGUUCGUAGUCUAAUAAAACGGAAACAGAUUAAGUUUACUACCAGAAUGCCAGCUCCUAUGAUGAUACCCAUGAGGAAAUUAGGUACAACACUAGCUAUGACCAUCAUCAGGCUCUCAACUGCCGUAAUGCUGGCAUAAAUGGCCAAUACAAAGAAGAAAUAGUGGGAGAAUCCUGGAUGGAAGUGGACCAUGAAGUAGCAGACAGUACCAGAAAGAAUUGCAAUCAAUAUAAGGAACGGCAUUGCAGAUAACGUGUUGCUUAUCACAAACACAAUGACACCAUAAUGCCCAUUCAUCCUUUCCCUUUGGAAAACCUGUUUUGAUUGACCAAAUCAUUAGAUUUGUGUGGCAAUGUAUCAAUUAUAUAAGAUAAGGUAGAUGUUUCUAGAGUACUGUCAUAUAAAGAACGAACUUUCAUAUCCUCCACGAAUGAAGGGAAACCUCCUAUUGACAUGAAUGUCAUAAAUCCAAAGACGAAAGAAGAACAUGCAGCUCUUGCCUGCAUAAUGUUAAUUUGAUAAGUAAAUAAAAAAAAAGCGCGUCUUCUUGUAGGAGACAUUAAUUACAAAGGAAUCAAGUUGUAAAAAUCCCAUUAGGAGAAAUAAGUUACCUGGAUGGAAUUAUACUUGGUUCCCACAUUAAAAUAGAUGGUUCCAAGACAAACGGAAACCACUAAGUAGAUCACAAUCCUCAGCCAGUAAUAGCCAAAGUCCCUAGACAUAUUAACAAACGAACGUUUGGUUAAGCUGUAGGACUGCAUAAAGAAACUAGCAUGGCUUCCGUUAGAAUCUAGCACUGUUCCUUUCUGUUACAAAAAAAAGAAAAGAAAAGAAAGAUUACAUUUGAUGAGAUAAGAAAUUAGGCAGAUGAUGAAGAAACCAAGAUCAAGGUUUGGUGCAUUAAAACUUACAACUUUGGACAUUUCUUCCACUGUUUCAUUUGCUACAUAGCAGUACUGAGAAUGACGAUAGAAGUCAACAAGACUUCGAAUUACUUCUGCUGUUGUCAUCUUGUUUAGAGGAUCAUCAUUGUACUGAUUAAACUUAUUAAAAUAAGAACAGAAUGAGUUAAAUGAAGGAACUUGAAGAUCUUAUAUCCUAAGCCAUGCUAAAUACAACGGUAAUAUAUAGAAAUUCAUGUUACUGUUGCUUAAAGAAACUACUACAGAAAGCGGAGACUUAAAUGGAGUAGUGACUAUUUUAUUGCACUUAUCAAAACAAACAACAUAUUACACAUGGUCUGAUCUAAUGCAAACUUUUGGAGCUUGAUUAGUAACAAGAUGAUCUAAAAAGACAUACUUUGAUCAACUCCCUUAAAGUGGCCUUAACUUUGUCGAAAUCAGAGUUACUGCACCGAAGGAAAUGAUCUGAUGGACUUCUAAAAGAAGGACAAGGAAAUCCUGCUUCGGCAAAGAACUGCAAACCAAAAACUAGAUUUAACUCUAACUACCACAUGAUGAAAAAGGUAUAAAAUCCAGAAACAAAUGAUGGAGAAUCUCGAUUAAGGGAGAUUUAUCUUGCCUGAUUUGCUUCAGAAGCUUGACCAAAGUAAACUGUUUUGCCUCCGGAAAGCAAGUAUAAUCUGUCAAACAGCUCAAAUACUUCAGAGCUUGGCUGGUGAAUUGAGGCUAUCACAGUCCGUCCAUCUCUGGAAAGACAAUGCAGUGCCUGUGUUACGAAGAACGCUGAGGCACUGUCACAAAAUACAGAAAAUUUAAGGUAUUGUUCAUCAAUACUGUGAAAUUAACAUUGUAAAAUAAGUGAUCUAUUAGUAAGAACAUUAUCUACCUAUCUAGUCCACUUGUUGGUUCAUCAAGGAAGAGCAAUCUAGGCCUCAUUAGAAUCGCAAGCGCAAUACUAACCCUCCUCUUUUCUCCCCCACUAAUACCGCGCAAGUGCCAAUUACCAAUAAACGUAUCAGCACAAUCUUGUAAGCCCAUUUGAGUAAUGGUGCUCUCAACUAGUGUCCUUUUUUUCGAUAAUGGCAUCCUAUCAGGGAGACGCAAUUGAGCUGAAUAGUAAAUAGUCUCCCGAACCGUUAGUGUUCCAAUCAACGUAUCAUCUUGUGUUACAUAUGCCUGUAUUGUAAAUCAAUUAAAAUAACCUCACAAAAUUCACCCAGAAUAAGAAAGAUACUGACAGGAUAACACUUGUGUCUCACAAACUAUUGCCUUAGGACUACUUACUGCAGUUCCAAAUGAGAGCUUAGCUUUGCGACCGUUGAGGAGAAUUUUUCCAGUGAGGAUAGCGUUAGAACCAAGACGUCCAGAUAGGGCGUCGAGCAGCGUAGAUUUACCAGCACCAGAAGGACCCAUUAAUGCAGUGAAUGUUCCAGGCUCUGCAUAACCAGUAAGUCCUUCUAAUACAUUUCUUGUAUCUCCAUUAUUCAGAGUGACCAUUACAUUAACAUCCUUCCAAGCCACAUGAGCAGAUACCACUAUACCAUUGGCGUUUUGUGGUUCACUUUCUUCUUCAAUCUCCAUAAUUGCAGAGGAGGACGAGAACGACGACGACGACAACGAGUUCCUCAUCAUCUAUAUACAAUUAAUUUCUCUCUUUGGUUAUUUAAUCAGUUGUCUUCUUCUUGAAAUGCAUCUUACUUGUAUUACUUCUGAUGUUUAUAAAGUUUGUUUGAAAAAAAGAACUAGUUAGCUGGUCAGCUCUAUACUGGAGUAAUAAAUCUAGCAGGUCCCAAAUAAGUGUUGUUUCAACCAAAAAAUAAAUAAAUAGUGAAAUUGUUUGCAAGAGUAGAGGUAAAUCACAUUAUAUUUGUAGUGGAAUCAGGGAUAUACAUGCCUUAAUAUAUCUUAAUUUUAGGAAUCGUAUAAAAUCAUCCAAAUUGACUGCAACUGUUGACAUAUAUAUUCCGUAGUAAAGGAAACUAAAAUUUCUAUUUUCCCUUGUUAAAACUGGUAUUAUAUGUAUGAGGUCCAGCCCCUAUCUUCACUUUUCUUUUGGCUGUGAUUUGCACAGAUUGCACUAGCACACAUUCGUUGAAAACUGGCAAUCACUCAAUUAAUACAAGGGAGAAAUAUUGGCACAUUUCAUCAUGUACACCAACACACAAAGGGAAGUAUUAGAGAACUGAGUGAGGUAUAUCAUAGACUAACUAUAAAAAUAAAAUAAAAUAGUGUGAGUGAUAUUUUUAGCGAGACGAGAAAUCAAAAGAGGUUUUCUUUUUUGAGUGUGUAGUGGUAUUUGUAGUAUUUUACUCAAAGCCUACAAAGUGUAAAAUUCUUUCUAUACAGAAUGUGUAAAUGCAACUUUAUGUGUGACUUAUUAGAAGAAGAAUAAACAAAUGAUGGCUUCUAUUUAAAUACUUUGUUUUCUAAUUUGAUUGAUUCAUUUUGAUCUUGUUAUUUGGUUCAUGAUUCUCAGAUCCUUGGAGAAGGCGAUUAAGCAAGAGCGUAUUGUGUCAUUGUCUUAUUCUGAUUUGCACCAUUCUGCUGCAUUUUUCUUCUAGCAAUGUAGCCUCGGAGCCAAGGAGUAACAUCCUCGUUGAUCUUGAUCAUGAUGAAGAAGAUUAAGCGGUAGAUGAUUAUCAUGGAGAAUAUGACACUAAGAUCCACCCAUUUUGAUCUGUUCACGUGAAUCUGGAAUGUUUCUUUUAGCGCGUAUUCACCUGUGAUCUUGGGAAGAUCAGGACUCUGGUUAUCAAAUAUCAACCCCUUCAAGUGGUUUUUGUAUUGCCCCUACAGAAACACCAAGUUAAACUCAAUGGAUUCAUAUAUCAAAAUAAUACUGGACGGAUCUUAACAGAUUUUCCAUCAAAAAAAAACUACUACUUAGAUAUCUACAUCUGUCAUCAAAGCAAGUAAUUGGUCUGAACAUGCCAAGUUGGUGCUUGAUAACGCAUUUCUCUUUCAUAUGCUUUAUUUUGAAGGCUUACGUGUAAUUAUCUUUAGGCUCCGAUGAUGUUAGCAUUUCCAUUAUGAGUUUAUAACAGGUAAACUCUGCAGCAAAUAUUUACCUGUAUAGCCCAAAAAUCGAAAGUCAAGUAAGACACCGGGUAACGCCAGACAGGUUUUGGGAUGUCAUGGGGAAGUCUGAAGAACCCAGAAACCACCAUAGAUAUUCCCUAACACAGAAAACAUACACAAUUGUUAAGUGUGGAAAAUGGUAUGCAUGCAUUAGUACUUCUGAUUCUAAGAUAAGCAGAAAAUUUCGUAGUCUAUAAAACAGAAACGGAUUAAGUUUACUACCAGAAUGCCAGCCCCUAUGACGAUACCCAUGAGGAAAUUAGGGACAACACUUGCUAUGACCAUCAUUAGGCUCUCAACCGUUGUAAUACUGGCAUAAAGGGCCAAUACAAAGAACAAAUAGUGUGAGAAUCCUGGAUGAAAUCGGACCAUGAAGUAGCAGAUGGUACCAGAAAGAGUUGCAAUCAAUAUAAGGAACGGCAUUGCAGACAAUGUGUUACUUAUGACAAAUGCAAUGAUACUAUAAUGCCCAUUCAUCCUUUCCCUUUGAAAAACCUGUUUUGAUUGUAAAAAUAGGACCAAAUUAUUAGAAAUGUCUGGCAAUGUAUCACUAUAGAGUUAAGAUAGCUUUUUCAAGAGGGUCAUGCAAAGUACGAACUUUCAUAUCCUCCACGAAUGAAGGGAAACCUCCUAUCGACAUGAAUGUCAUAAAUCCAAAGAUGAAAGCUGCACAAGCACCUCUUGCCUGCAUAAAGUCAAUUUGAUAAAUAAAACAAAAAAUGCAUAUUCUUAAAAAUCCUAUUAGGAGAAACAAAUUACCUGGAUGGAAUUAUACGUGGUUCCCACAUUAAAAUAGAUAGUUCCAACGCAGACGGAGACCACUAAGUAGAUCACAAGCCUCAGCCAGUAAUAGCCAAAGUCUCUUGUCAUAUUAACAAAUGAACGUUUGGUUAAGAUGUAGGACUGCAUAAAGAAACUAGCUUGGCUACCAUUAGAAUCUAGCACUGUUCCUUUCUGUCACAAAAAAAGUAUCACAUUUUAUCAAAGAAGAAACUCGACAGAUGAUGAAGAAAUCAAGAUCAAAGUCUGGUACAUUAAAACUUACAACUUUGGACAUUUCUUCUACUUGUUCAUUUGCUAAGUAGCAAUAUUGAGAACGGCGAUAGAAGUCAACAAGACUUCGAAUUGCUUCUACUGUUGUCAUCUUGUUUAGAGGAUCAUCAUUGUACUGAUCAAACUAAAUAAAAUAAGAACAGAAUAAGCUAAAUGAAGGAAGGUGAAGAUCUUUAUAUCCUAAGACACUCUACAUGUUAAUGUUGCUUAAAGAAAGGACUACAGAAAACGGAAACUUAUAUGGAUCAGUGACUAUUUUAUUGCACUUAUCAAAACAAAAAACACAUGUGUGUAAGGUGUAUGCUUCAAGUGUUUCCUAACUUUGAACAGAGUAGCAUUACUUAUUUAAAAAGUUAUUCCCCGAAUCUCAUGCAAACUUUUGAAGUUUGAUUAGUAACAAGAUGAUCUUAAAAAGCAUACUUUGAUUGAGUCUCUUAGAGUUGCCUUAACUUUGUCGAAAUCAGAGUUACUGCACCGGAGGAAAUGAUCUGAUGGAUUUCUAAAAGAAGGACAAGGAAAUCCAGCUUCUGCAAAGAACUGCAAACCAAAAACUAGAUUUAAUUCUAACUUCCACAUGAUGAAAAAGGUAUAGGGUCGGGAGACGAAAAUGAUCCAUAGAAUGAUGGAGAGUCUUGAGUAAGGGAGAUAUCUUGCCUGGUGUGCUUCAGAAGCUUGACCAAAGUAAACUGUUUUGCCUCCGGAAAGCAAGUAUAAUCUGUCAAACAGCUCAAAUACUUCACUGCUUGGCUGGUGAAUUGAGGCUAUCACAGUCCGUCCAUCUCUAGACAGACAACGUAGCGUCUGUGUUACGAAGAAUGCUGAGGCACUAUCACAAAUCCAAUAAGCUGAUUCCAUUAGAUGUUGUUCCUUUAUUAGGUAUUUCAAAACUUAAACACACAAUUGAGCUAUGACCUUAAGAACAUUACCUGUCUAGUCCACUCGUUGGUUCAUCGAGAAAGAGUAAUCUAGGUCUCAUAAGAAUCUCAAGAGCAAUACUAACCCUCCUCUUUUCUCCUCCACUAAUACCGCGCAAGUGCCAAUUUCCAAUAAACGUAUCAGCACAAUCUUGUAAGCCCAUAUCAGCAAUGGUGCUCUCAACCAGUGUACGUUUCUCCGAUAAUGGCAUCCUAUCAGGGAGACGUAAUUGAGCUGAAUAGUGAAUCGUCUCUCGAACCGUUAGAGUUCCAAUCAACGUAUCAUCUUGUGUUACAAAUGCCUGUAGUGUAUAUAAAUUUGUUAGUUAAUCAGGUGUUGCGCCAAAGCUAACAAAUUAAACCAAGAUGAUAGUGAGAUUAUAAAAGAGAAAUAUAUAUAACAAACAUGGUUCAAUCCAUCCACAUGCGGAAAUGAGCAAUCCACUAUAUAAAAAGAGUAAAAUAUCGAGAGAAAAUAACCUCAUAAAACUUGCCCAAAGAAAAGAGAGUUUCAUUUCUAGAAUAGUUACGGAAUUUUCAUGGAUAGGAUCAAACCUUAUUCCAUCGUAUAUACAUGAGGUUCCUCUAUAAAAAAUCUACAAUGAAGUUUAGUUGAUCCAUGAUUUAUGUUUCAUCUUUCCUUUGCUUCAAGAAAUUUAUCCAUCAAUUCUAAUUCUUUCUUUUUUUCUUGAUUCUUUUCCGAUUAAUAUGUUUAAAUAUUGUUCAUGGAUUAACGAAAAAUUGUACCUUACAUGUUCUCCCUCUAAACAAGAUUCUCGAAGCUCUUAAGAGUAUAUUGUGAAUGCUGACAAGUGAAAAAUCCAAUUAUGGUACGAAAAUAUAUGAGUAGAAUUAACUAACUACUUACUACAGUUCCAAAUGAGAGCUUAGCUUUGCGACCGUUGAGGAGAAUAUUUCCAGAGAGGAUUGCAUUAGAAGCAAGACGUCCAGAGAGGGCGUCGAGCAACGUAGAUUUACCAGAACCAGAAGGACCCAUUAAUGCAGUAAAUGUUCCAGGCUCUGCAUAACCAGUAAGUCCUUCUAGUAUAUUUCUUGUAUCUCCAUUAUUCAGAGUAACCAUUACACUUACAUCCUUCCAAGCCACAUGAGCAGAUACUACUAUACCAUUGUGGCCUUGUGGUUCACUUGCUUCAUCAAUCUCCAUAAUAACAUCGUCAUUUGACGAUGUUACUACAUAGGAGAACGAUGACGAGGAGUUCCUCGUCAUCUAUAUACAGUUAAAAUUUUUCCUUUGGUUGUUUAAUCAAAUGUCUUCUUCUACUUGAAUUCAUCUUAUACAUGUAAUACUUGUGGUGCGUAUGAAGUAUAUUUGAAGAAAAGGUAGCAGGUCAACUCUGUACUGGAGUAAUAAAGAAACAAAAGAAAAUCCUACUAAUUAACAAAGGAAGCAUGGAAAAGCUGCGAAUCUUUUAUUUAUUUAUUUAGGAGUGAACGUGAUAUACAUAACCCUGCCAGAUUGCCUCAUUUGGCUGUACAUAAUUCUUUUACUUAGUCAUGUAAAAAUUGGCUAGACUUUCAACUAUGUGUGUCUGCAUCGUUUUGGAAAAAAUAAAUAAAUAAUGUUCUUCAGAUUUCAACAAUCCAACACACCAUUCAAUAUAUCCAAGUCAACUCCAAAUAAUUUCAAAUUUGAAUCAUAAGUUAAUUUACCAUUAAAAAAAAAUCUCAAUCAUCAAUUUAUUAAAACAAUUAUAAAUCUAACAUUUUCAUUUAAUACUUUUUAAUUUUUUUUCAUAUAUGACUAAUGCAAGUAAAAAUUGCUAUAGAAUUUUAAUCAUGUAUAUAAAUAAAAUAAGUAUUGUUUUUUUCCAUAAUAGAUCUCUUUAUCUGAAAUUAAUAGAGUAAUCAAUAUUUAUGCAAAAUUAAACACAAUGCCAAUACCAAUUAAAUGGUGCCUGCCAAAAUAGGGCACCCCAUGACAUUUUUAGGUGCACUUUGCCUGUGUUAUUUUCCUGAUUUGGACCAGCAAAAAUGAUGGAAUAAUGAUAGGAUUCUAAUAGAACUAGCAUGGACCACACCAAUAAUCAAAAAGUAUAUUCCUCUUUAUAUUUUUCGUUUUCCGAUAGUCAAAUAAUUUAAAUUUGAUAAAAAAUUUAUGUGAAAUUUUUAACUUUUUUGAAAUAAAAUUUAUGUGUUUAUAAACUAUUUUAAAAAGUACUAUGAAUCAUAACAAUUGAUUAUUGUAUGAAAAAUUUCUGGUCAAAACUAUUAUUAUUUGAAUCUCGUAUCAUAUAAAAUGGAAUAGGGAGUACAAGUUAAAAAAAAUAUUACUUAUCCAUUUUAAUUUAGGAGUCAUCGUUUGACUUUGACUUGACACGAAAUUUAAAAAAAUCUUUUAAAAUUAUUUUAAAUAAAUAUUACUAAAAAUUAACAAAAAUAAUAAUAAAUUAAAAAUAUACUUAAAAAGUAAUAAUUAUUAAAUUAAAAACCAUCACUUAUAUAAUUUUUCCUUAAAAAUCCCACCCACUAAGAAGAAAAACUGUGCGACAAAAAUUGGCAGAUACGUGUGCCAUACUUCAACUUGAUUUCUUAAAGAAAUUAAAAAAAUCUACUAACGCGUUGGUCAGAAUUUGGUCAUCAGCUUUGCUUGAACCAUGCUUAUAUUAUUAGUACUUUAUCCUCCCCAGAAUUUCGUUUAACUAGUUAAGCAGUUUUUCUUAACAAGUGACCUAUUUUUCUCUCGAAUCCCUUCUUCAUCGUGUUGAAAUUGGUCAAAACAGUGAAAGAAUCGGAAGAUUUCUGUAGCCAAAAUGAUGGAUUUGUGAUAAGCGAAGCUUGUUACUGGUAAUUUUAGGAGAAAGAGAAGGAUGUUGCUGCUAUUUAUAGUGUUUGUUCUGGGAGCUGUAACGGUUAUUGCAAUUGAAGCUGUGUGCGUGGUGUAUUUGAUACGCUGGUUGAACCGUAGACUUGCUCGUGAAGUAGAUAAAGCAAAACCGGACGGGUCGCUAUCGUCUACUGAGGAUUUCGAUUUCUCGUUGUACCUGAAACAGGUAUGUCAUUUUACUUGCUUAAUGUUCAUGCUGCUCAAUUUUGACUGAUUGAUUUAUAGGACAGCUAAAUUAACUCGAUUAAGCUAUUCCUUUCGUGAAGUUAUGAUUUGGAAUCUACAUUAGAAGUAUAUUAGCAAUUUUCCCCUAUCUAAGUAAUGAAUAAGGGCAUUUGGAAGUGUGAUAUGCAAUUUAGGUUGAAAUUUCGGGAGAUGAAAAGUGCUAGACAUUUUGGAAUAAAGAGAGUAUAUGUGAUUAGUCUAUUUGGGGACAUUGGUAGAAUGUAAUUUGAACACUUGAAUGUAGAGAUUAGAUGUGUUUUGAGUCUGGUCUAUGUGGAGUCUUUUUUUUUUUAAUAUAUUAGACUAGACUUAAGGCUAUUGAUUUGCAUUCGUAACCUUCAGUGUAAACUUGUUACAUUGAAUAAAAAGUGUGUUCAGUUCAAUAAUUUCUAUGUUGUACUAGAGCAGGAAGAAGUUUUGGUUUCAAGUCUCACCACUGCCCAUUAUUAAGUUAGGUAGUUCCACGUGCUUGGCCUAACAAGAGAAUAGUGUGUUAAGACAUUGUUAAAAAAAUAGAAGUGUACCCUAUAAGAUGUGCUAGAGGGAAAUAAUAUAUGAACUCCUCCCGUUUCUAAUAGAAAAAGACAUUGAGGACCUGUUAGAAUUAGAUACCUCUUGUAGCACACCUGUUAUACUACACCCUAUUAGAAACGGGAGGAGAUUACAUCAUUAUUUCCAUUGAAAGCAACAUGAUAGGAUGUGCUAGAGGGAUUAUCAGUUUGGAUGAUUAGAUUUGCUAUUAUUUUCAAGCUGAGGGUAUAAUUUUGAAUAUAUUCUUUUUCGGACUCUUUUAUAACCGUGGUAUCUGGGAUAACUUCUUUUCAGACUUUUUAGGAUAUUAUUACCUUAGAAGAAUAUAACGUUAUAAUAAUAUCUCAUUAACACUGUUUCUUCUUCAUCGUUAAGAGAUAAGUUUUCUCAGAGAUAACUUAUAAUUGCUCACACCGAGCAGCAAAUUUGAUUUUCAAUUCAAGUUCCUUUCACAUUUUCUUAAAUGGACUUGAUCAGCUUCAACUUACUGUCUUGUUGCUUAUGUUCUGUAUCUGCUUCCAGGGGACAGUCUGGGUUCUAGAAUCUGAAAGAAUACCAAAGGCUCUUCCAGUGGAUAAAGCCGUGACGCAGCAAAAAAGCAAGAAGGAGGUCUUAGAGGUUACACCUACUCAGAAAUUUGCACAAAUCAAGGAUCAUCAUCUCGUAUUUACAGAGUCAGAUGGUUCCCAUGUAGAAAUUCCACUGAAAGGUUGCAUAAUAGCAGCUGUUUCAGCGUCAAGCUUGUCCACUAGAAAAUGGUAAGUUUGGAAGUACUAUUAUAUAUUGAAGUGAUUUUUGUUGAACCGACAAACUGUAUUAAUUUUGGUCGUGUAAGUUGGUUUGAGUCAUUGGUUUCAAAUAUAAAAUCAUUGGCAAGAUGUGGCACUCGUAGUCCUCUUCUAACAUUUUUAUGAAUAUAGUUUUGGAGGCAUCAGAUCUGGAAAGAGCUAUCUAGUUCUAGCUGCAAUUGAGUUAUAAGCUAUGUCCUUUGUCAUGUGGUGCUGGUGGUAUAAAAGCUUGGGCAGACAUAAAUAUGAGUGCAAAGCAUUCUUCUUAGUCAAGUCUGAAUUGAUCUGGUGGUUGAAUGCUAGCUGAAGCACACAUAUGUAAACCUACAUGUAUUUUUGCAGUUUCAUAGAGUGGAAAUAGGUUGAUCAUUUGCUGCUAUGUUUAGCUAAAGUAUUUUUAUUUUAUUUUUGGAUUAUUUGAAGUUCAAGUCCAAUCCCUGGUUGAGAUUUAGGGCAUCUGCAGAUUUUAUUCUAAAAUAAGCAAGCUAAAAUUCUUCAAAAGAAGUUUGCAGAAGUAGCUAAAUUGUGUGCUUUGUUCUAAAUCUGUGUGCUAGAUUGCUGGCAGCAGGAAAGCUAGAAUAGAUAUAAAGAUGAGCCAAAAUAUUCUUCUUAGUCUGACCGCGAAAUAAUCUGGUUGUUGGAAGCUGGUUUCCACAAAUUUGCCUACAUGUAUCUCUGUAGUAUCAUUGGGUGAAAGUAGGUCACUUGCUGCUCAUUUUAAAAAUAUAAAAUUUUCAUUAUAGCAAUUGUCACUACUUUGAUGUUCAAAUUCUGGUUGUGUGAUUUUGGGACAAUCGCAGAGUUUUUUAAAUAAGAAAGCUAAAAUUAAUUCUAGAAGAAGUAGACAAAAAAUAAAACCCCAAUUACCCGUUUUCUCUAUUAUCAAGAAGUUGAUGGAUAAAUUAUUGCCGCUAAGGCAAAUGUAGAACAGAUCUCUGUUGGUGCCCAUAAUAGAUUCUGCUUUUCCUACAAAAUCUUAGAUUUCACUGAAUUAGCACACAGUUAAGUAAGUGGCUUGUGUAAUUGUUUGGCAGAGAAGUAAUAAAAAUAAUUUACAACUUCUAUUGGUGUUAUCUGCUGCAAUCUUACAGGGCGAAAAGAUAUCCUAUCAAAAUAGAGUGCAGAGCAUCAACUUCAUGUGAAGGAAGUAGAAUACUGUACAUUUAUCUUGAGACAUGUUGGGAGAAAGAAGCAUGGUGCAAAUCCCUUCGUCUUGCUUCCUGCGAGGACCAAGUAAAACUUACGUGGUUUGCCAAGUUGAACAUAGAGUUUCAAAAUUACCUGACGUCAUUAAAUGCAGGUUAUCCUUCAUUUAUGAAACCGUAUUCAAGUGUUAGUCCUGAUUUAGGUGAUAAAUCAAGUAAGUUUGAUGGUUCCUCAUCAAAAGUUCGGCAAUUUCUGAAAAAGCUUGGCAAGAAAGCUUCUAAGAGUAUUCCAGAAAACAAAGGAAGCAGCAUUUCAACGUCUGAUCAUGAAGAAAGGAAGAUAAGUGAGAGAGCUCAAUCCUUACAAGACCUUUCUUUUGCUGGUGGAGGUAUCAAGUUGGCUCCAACACGAAAACCUCUUGAUUUUUCUACUAAGGACGUUGCAGUGCCUUCAUCUACAUCAACAUCUUCUGGAUUAGGAAGCCGGAGUCAAACGUCAGUUACUUCUGAUGCGGAUUCUGAUGAGAGAAUUUUUGGUGAUGAAGGAACUCUUUGUUGGAACUUGUUGAUAUCCCGUUUGUUUUUUGAUGCUAAAAGAAACGACCAGAUGAAAACCUCUUUGCAAGCCAGGAUUCAGGUUUGCAAUCUCCUUUCUCUUUCCAUUAGUAUAUGUUUCUUGAUUUAAGCUUUUUGGUUGGACGUUAUAAUUUGCUCUAACUAUUGCUUUUGAAAAUUAGCAAUAUUUAUAUAGGUACUGUUUCAUUUUGAUAUUCUAUGCAUCUUCUAUUAUUAUAUUAAACUAAAAUAGAAAUUUUCUUUGUCGAACUGACUUAUGAUUCUGUGUGUUCUUACUUGUAGAGAACGCUGUCAAAUAUACGAAUUCCUAGCUACAUAGGCGAAGUGACAUGUACUUCUGUUAAUAUUGGUAACCUUCCUCCCUACAUACGUGCAAUGAGGGUUCUUCCCUCGGACAUGAAUGAGUUUUGGGCCUUCGAAAUUGAUCUUCAGUAUUCUGGUGAUGCAAUCUUGGAGGUCGAGACGAGGGUAGCAGUUCAGGACCUUGAUUUACCUGAAGGUGAUGAACCAGAAACAGAAUCCGGUGCUAUUCAUGAUGUGAAAUAUGAUUUACUAGAAGGGGUUGAGCAGUUUGGAAAACAAAAGCAUUCUGAAGUGAACGUUGAUAAGAUGGACCAAGCCAAGGAAGGUAAUAUUUUCUAUGAUGUUCUCAAAAUUUUGGAUUUUGCAAUCAAAAUAUGUUAAUUUGCUUGGGCAUGCUUCAUGGUUAUUUGUGCAGUAACUUAAAGGGAAUAGUUAACUAUUUUUGAAAGAAAAAUUAUUUUAGAUGGUUUUCAAGGUGUAUUAAUCAUGUGAAUUUUCAGAUGGGAUGAGAAGCUCCAAUAGCACUCCAAAUGUGUUGCCUCAAGUUUCUAAGUGGAAGUCUAUCUUUAAUUCUGUUGCCAAGCAGGUCUCACAGGUUGUUUACAACUAUUUUAUUUAAUAUAAUGGGCUGUUUGGUCUGUACAGAUAGGGUGGAGGUGCUUAUUUAAUUUUUCUUUAUGUACAUGGUAGAGCAGUUUAGUAUCUCGCAAGGCUUAUAAUCUUGAUGUUAAAGGUUCAAUCCUGUCAACAUCUAGUUUAGUAUCUCGCCACAAGGGUUUUCUCUUCCCAAUUGAUUUUUCUAAAAUGAAAGAAUGCAACAAAAUGGUUAUAGUUAUGACAACCCAAGAGCCAAAAGUACACAAAAUCCCUAUAGUCCUCUAAAGAUAAUGAGCUAUAGAAGAGUUCUUGUCACAAGAUCCCUUGGAUUCAAAGAGCUUAAUUGGCCUUGGUUUUCUUUGUUCCCUCAUAGUCCUCAAGGCUUAAAAAUCAUUAUACAUGAUCCUUUGAGCUAAAUCGUGGAGAUCUUAUAAUUUCUUAGCUUGAUUCCUUGUAAAUGGUCUACUUGAGAGAUUCACUUCUCUUGGGUUAGUCAAAAUCUACAGGUUAACGGUUAACCUAUGUUUGUGCAACUUACAUCCUAGAAUACUUUUGUGUAAAAUACAGCAAAAUUUCAGUAGUUCUCCUGACGUUGACUUGAAAUGACCUCCUUAUUAGUUACAGAGAAGAACUAUAGUUGAUGUCGUUAAGUUGACCUUAGUAUCCGUUUUUAGCAAUAGAUAAUGACAGGUAAGACAAGGAUCCCCUAAGGAGAACAUGGUAUGAGUUAUGGUUGAGCAGUGGAUUCUGAAUGAUAAAGGAUUUACGCGUUAUACAAUCAUGAGAACUUCUAAUAUGGCAGCAUUCUGCUACUGCAUGUAUUUCUCAGACGAUUAGUAAUUUAAUCAUAUUGUGCCGGACGAAAACUUUUGAAUUUUUAUUGGUGCAUGUACUGAAGAAACAUAGUGUCUUAUUCUUCCUGUACUGUAACAAAUUGUGGAAGAAGCUCUUUUGCAUUCUAAUCAUUGGAUCUUUAAACUCAUCAGGUAUCACUCUCUCUGGGGAUAAGGAUCGCAUCCAUUCAAGGAACUAUGAGGCUCUACAUAAAGCCACCACCUUCAGAUCAAAUAUGGUUCGGAUUCACAUCGAUGCCCGAUAUAGAUAUCCACUUGGACUCUUCCGUUGGGGAGCAUAAGAUCUCAAGUGGGCAUCUCUCUUUGUUCCUAAUCAAUCGGUUCAAGGUCAGAUUGAUAAUUUCUGUACUACAAUUUGAUUAUGUGUCUAUACAUCUCUUCUUCUCAUUAAGCCCUUUACAUGGACUUAAUCAUGAUUUUUAAAUUUUUUACCAUUGGGCCUUUAACAGUUCUAACACUUCGCUAGCUUAAAUCCAUUUUCAGUAGGUCAAGGUUUCUAGAGAAUAAUUGUGACUGACUUACAGCAGUGGGUUAACACUUGAACAAAAAUUUCUAGAAUAUUGUCUCUUAAAUAUCAAAUAGUGGAAACAGCACUUAGAAUUGUGGAAAUCAUCGUUACAAAAAGAUAUAAUAUAGAGUGGUUUCCAUAUAAAAUCCAAUUCUUUAAAAUUACGUCUAAAUCCCCAGACAAGUUGGUGCCAAGAGUACUUUUCCUAAAAUAAUCUAACCACUUAUCUGUAUAAGUGGAUAUUUCCUACAAAAAAGGGCCAAAACUACCCCUCAAAUAUUAGAAAUGGUAUAAAAAUACCUUCUAUCCACCUAUUUGACUAAAUUUGCUUUUACCACUAUUAUUUUGGCUCUUUUCUGCCCUAAUAACUAAUACUCCAUGCCCUAUUAAAAAAAAUCUGUUGUUAUUUAAUAUGUGGUGUCACCUGAUUGGCCUAAUUUUGGGUCCCAUAGUAAAAGAAAUUUUUAAAAAGUGGUCUCUCUCUCUACACUCACCAUUGCCAUUCCUCCCCCUCUGGCCCACAUUCCUCUCUUCCACUUUAGUCUUCUUCCUAUAAGAGAACUCGUGCAUGCACCAAAGAAAAUAAAGGGAAAAGAUGGUAUUCAAGUGUACAAACUAAGUUUUUCUCAACUCAAUCAGAAAUUCUACUAUUCCUCAUACAGCCCACAUAGUGUUAAGAGGAGUAACAAGUCCCUUCAAAUGAUUGUAAAUGGCAAGAAAUGCAACGACCUGUGAGUGUCCCAUGCUCCAUGUCUUCUUUUCCUUCUUCAAAAGGCUCUGCUAAACAUUGUUUUCUAGUACCCGACAUCACCCACUCAAGUCUAAACCAUCUCAAAAUUUCUCAUAACAAAUAAGAUACUAUCCAACAAUGUAAAAGGAGGUAGUUCACAUCUUCCCCUGAGCCUUCACAUGAAACAUUAACUAAUACAAGUAAUCUUCUUCCUCAAAAUUCUCCGACAUCAAGAUCAUCCUCUUGCAGCCAGCCAAGCAAAAAAAACAUGUUUCUCAAUACCCUAGUGAUGCGUUUCAAAAUAUGGGUGCAAAAGCUGAUUAGAAGUUUUUCAUAAUUGGUUAUUGGUCACAACAGAAAUGACGCCUAUUCUGUGAAGUUAUUUGUUUGUGAAACAACUCGACCAAAUUUUGAAAUUCUUCAACCUCCCAGCCUUGCAAGUUCUUGUUUUUAGAUCAUUUCUUUUUGAUAAGCUACUAAUUUAUUUGUACUUGUUUCAUUCCCAACCACCAAUGUCUCUGCUUCCUAUGGAUUGGUUUUAUAACGAUGCUUGAAUUUAAUUCAACUUUAAAUUCGAUAGAGCAAUCUAUGCAAAGUUUCCAAUAUAUUGUUCUCUUUUUAUCAUCCGUAGGCUGAGAUUUCCUUCAGAGGCUUAAGCUGAUUCUUUAUAACUAAUGCAGGGUGCUAUUCGUGAAACACUGGUACUUCCAAACUGUGAAAGUGUAUCCAUCCCAUUUAUGUUAGCAGAGAAGGACGAUUGGGUCCCCCGACAAGUUGCCCCAUUUUUAUGGCUGAAUCGAGAAGGUGCAGGUAAUAAUGCGAACAGACAAGAAGCAUCCAGCUCCCAACCUGCGGAUGCAACACGAGUCACUGAAGUUGACAAGGGAGGUACCAAUGGUAAUUCUGAAAGCAAAACUGAAAUUCCAGGAAAAACAGGAUGGAGUACUCAACAAAGCAAGUCAUUGGAUCCACAUGCAUUAUUAUCAGUUCCUACGCAUAGUCCAGAAACAGGAAGCACCUCUAGCAAUGGCGGAAGCAAUCAAGCGAAGACGAAAAAACUUGGAUGGUCUGCCCUGCAAAGCAAAUCACUGGAUCAUGCGUCUCUAUCAGUUCCUAUAGCACAGCCUGGCACAAAUAACCAGCCUUUGGAAGAAUUGGGAGCACCAUUGUUGAAGCAUGAGGAACAGCAAGAGGGUCAUCUCGAAAGCACAGCGGAGAACAUAGAAUGCAAGUCACCUUCUCGACAACUGUUACUACUUGAAAAAAAUCAAAUUACUGGAGAAGAUGAUUCAAAGUGUACAAGAUUAGGGAGAAGGGCUAGGAUGCUUGGUUUGGGGAAGAAAAUGGGGGAGAAACUGGAAGAAAGGGCACGUCACAUAGAAGAAAAGGGGAGAAAUUUAGUUGAGAGAAUGAGGGGACAACAGUGAAAUUAAGGAACAUUGUAAAUUUUACAGUAUGGCCAGUUCAUUUAUUUUCACAACGCAAGUCCCUGUGUAUCUUGUUACUGGCAUUUCUUUUGUGCUUCACUGUCUUCAGUCUUCACUAACGAAAUUAUCCAAUGGUUCACAUGUUUCAGUAUCACAGAUGCAGUAAACUGACGACCUUGUGAAGGAAAAAAAAAUCAAAUCAACAGUGCUAUGCUUGGCUUCCGUGGUCGGAUGAUUCAUCUUUAGCUGCCAUGAAGAAGAUUGUUCUCAACUCAUACACAAGCUUUAUCGUUCUUAAUUGGUUGUCCAUAAAGAAAGAGUUGGAAGUAAAAAAUAUCUUGCGUCGAUUGUAUGAGGUGAUUAUUAUCGUCAUUUUAUCAUGUUAUGCUGUUGAAUUAAUAUAUGUUACUCAUUCGAGCUAAACACUUAAGUAGACCAAAGGUCCCGUGUAGGUACGAGAAUGGAAGAUAAAAGUUUACUUUUGCAUAACAUAAUCAACAACUAUACAAAACUUAAAACACUUUAACCUUCUUGUCCUAUUAUAGUCGUGGUCAAUUAAAGAAAAGCGUAUAUGUACUACAACACUAAGAACCCUGAUAUUAAAAAUUGCUGGAGAGCUAGGCUUGUUUCAAGCCUUGAGAAAACUUAACCCAUUUAGAGAGAUGAAAUUGCAAACUUGACAAUUCUGUGAAACCCUUUAGUGCAAUAUAUUUUCAGGUUAACAAACAUCUCUAAGAAACAUCAGUGGAAAGCUCAAUAUAAAGAAAAUCUAGGGUUCUAACAUUCAUAAGAAACUAUCAUGCGAUAAAGUCAAGUUAGCACUACUCUUAUGAUUGAUUUAAGUAAAACCAUCCAAACAAGAACAUGGUAAUACAAUUAUGGAAUGAAUGCAGAAAUAUGAAGAAAAUAGAUAGGACAACAACAAAAAUUUGCUUUUCCACUCUUUCAAAACAAAAGCACUUCCAGAUUCUCCAAAGAAACACUGCACUAGCAAUGAUUAAAUAAUUCAGUACAUCCACGAAGUCAAAAUCCUUUUUAACUGUGCCAUUAAAAAACCAUCUAUUGUAGAACUCGAAAUAUCUAAUCUUUAUCCAAAAAAGGAUGAAGAGCUUGAAGGAAAAAGGCUCAUUCCCAGCCUGUAGCACCAGAGGUAGGGGCAACAUCUGGUACUGGUAGAGGAACUGGUGCAGGGGCUGCUGCUGCAUCCCAUCCGCCAUCAGCUGCUGAAAUUCGUCCCGGAAACAAAAGGCAAGGUUAUUAGUGCCAACAAAUUUAGGAAUAAGAAUAACUUAAAAUCACCAAAUGCUUACUUACAGAAGAGGCUCACAAUCAUAGGACAGGGAAAAAAAAGAGAAGCAAAAGACUAUCAGCUAAAAUGAGCUCAAGAGCAACAAAGUGCCAGUUGGGGAUUGAAAUUUUUUAGCAGACAAUAUUAGGAACCAACUUCACAAAAUAACAAACUAACCUCCAUCUCCAGCCCAACCACCACCUACUGCAGGUGCUGCAGCAUCUGCAGUCCAUUGCGCCUCAGGGAUUUGGCUACUAGUCCAGUCACCACCAAGGGCAGCACUCGCAGAGUAGUCUGCAUAAUCUGCAAUUGCUGGCACUUCCUCUUCUUGCUCCUUUGCCUCUUCAGGCUCUCUGUAAAAGAAGAGAUCAACCUGCAAAAAUAGAAAUAAACAGAUGCAAAUGAAAAACCUAUAUUCAAGUGACUGCAAAAGCAGGCAUUAAAUCAUCUACUAAAUUUCAGAAGAGCACACAACCACCACCAGCAGAAUGUAACAAUGAAGUUAGAGCUAUACAAAAUAAAAUGAAUAAAGAUGGUCUUUACCAUAACAUCCCAUUUAGGUCCUUGAUUAAUGGCCCCACGCAUCUGGAGUACCAUCCUUGCUAAGAUCCAGAAAAGAACACCAAUGCUGUGCUUUCCUUUGUUAUUGGCAGGGAUACCAAUGUCAACAUAACGCAUUGGAGAAUCAGUGUCACAGAAAGCAAUAGUUGGGAUGUUUCCAAGUGCAGCUUCCUUGAUUGGCUGCGAAGUUUUCAAACAGGUUAGUUAUAAUUGGCAGGUUUACAAGAGAAUAUUAGUAGCAGGAUAGCGAGUAAAACCUGAUGGUCAGUUCUUGGAUCAGUCAGAAUCAAGAGUCGUGGCUCACUGUAUGAGGUCUGAAGCUGAUUGGUAAAAGUUCCAGGGGUGUGACGUCCAGCAAUAGCAUGUGCACCAGUAUAUUGAGCAAAUUUCAAGACAGCUCUCUGUCCAUAAGGCCUGGCAGAUUGAACAAUGAUGUCCUGAGGAUUCUCAAUAGCAACAAUCACCCUGGCAGCCAUUUGAAGCUUUUCCCAUGUCUUUCCAAGGUUGAUGAUGUAGAUACCUACAAAUAUAAAUACUUAGGGUCAAGUAAACAGAGAAACCAAACCACUAAUGAAGAUUUUGUUAUGACACCAGGAAUUUGAAUUUGUAUCUCUAGUUGUCCCACAUAGAGUACUAGUAAAAUGCACAUCUAAUAUCAACUUAAUGGAAGUAAACAAUAGAGAGAGCAAAUGAAAUGUUGCAGAUAAAGAAUUCCUACAUGAGAUAAAACACUUAAUGAAUCCGAAUGCAUAUCAUAUAUAUGCAGGUCAAACAAUGGAAAGAUUAUCUAAAAGAGAAACUAGCAAUUACAAACAACACAAUCUGACCGAUACAGGCGCCCAGCCUCAGCAAACUGAAAAUACAUCAAAAACACUUAUUUGCAUUAUAUGCAUAUUGUAAAGGUAUUGGCUUCACUUGCCACAAGGUUUUACAAUUCAAAUCUAUCCACAUGAGUAGUGAAUUAAUCUAUAUGCUUUCAAAUAGUUGCAGUACAUACACUAUAAAUGUCAUUACUGUUGUUCGAAUCAAGCUCCCUGUUAAGUGCCUAUAUCUAAUUAAUAUGAACCUAUUAGCUUGAUAAAAUGCACCUAGAAGACAGCAAGACAGCUACCCAUGCAUCGGCUUAAUCGUAAGAACGAGCAAAUCCUACCAGUAGGUAAGAGCUGAAUACAAUUAUCACAGAGAAGUAAUGGCGAAUAAAAAAAGUUAAAUCCUUCCAACUGUUACUAAACAUUUUUUUCCAAAAAAAGUUCGUGGAUAACCAAAUCAAUACACCUAAUGCCAACAUAACAAUAAGCAUCUACAAACUACUAUGCAUCAAUCGGUGCAAUUUACAGCUAAUAGACAUAAGAUAUGAUCUUAACAUAACGAAAAACACAUAGAAUCAAGGAAUGAGAUAGAAAAUUAAGUUAAACACUUUCAUACCAUCGUUACGGCGCUUGAAAGCGUAUCGCUCCAUUUGGAAGUCACAAUUCUUAGUACCGAGGUGAACUUCAGCAGCCAACAUCAUCUGAAUGUCAGCUUCUUUAGUCGAAAGAGUCCUUACAUCUUGCGUCGCCAUGGUUGUGCUCUGCUUCUUCCCUUUCUGCUGCUAGGGUUUUUUUCGGCUUGCGGCAGAUCGAGAUUCUCUCUUCACGAACGUAUCUAUAAAACCCUUUUGGUAUAGAGGAACUUAAAUAUAAAACCUUGCUCGUAUUGGGCUGGGCUGUUGUAUAUUUAUGGGCUGGGCUGAUUAAAUUUCUCUUCUAAAAAUCGUAAAACUUUGAUAGUUAAGCCACAUUUUCAACUGGUAUUUAAAAGUUAACCUUUGUUUUGAUAGGAAACUAACUACACCAAGCCGCGUGUUAUGGGCGAAGCACUUGUGUAUGUAAUGCAAGUGAACGUCUAUGAAAAACUGUUGUAAAGUUUCGUUCUUCGUUCUAUUGUCGAUUCUAUUUAUGUUUCGUUCUUCAUUCUAUUGUCGACUCUAUUUAUGUUUCGUUGUUUUGAUAGGAAACUAACUAUACCGUGAGAUCGACCUUUACACUAUAUUUGGGUCAUUGUUAUUCAUUGUAUUGUAUUGUAUCGUUAAUAUAUCUAUAAUAUUUAUUUUGAUUGUUACUUAAAAUGUAUUGUACUAUAUUGUUAAAUUUUAUUGUUACGUAACAAUGAAAAUCUUUUUUUAUGGAACAACUAAUUUGGUGUGUUCCUACUGUUACUUAAUUUCUUUUUUCAAUUAUAUAUUUACAUAAUAUUUUAAAAUAUUAUUUUACCCUUUAAUUUAAUUAUUUAAAUCUAGUCAAAUCUCCUACCCUAGAAUAAUUAAGAUAUUUUAGUAAAUUUAUAAAUUACAAUACAGUAUGAUGCGAUUAAACGUAACAAUUAAAAUGUUAUUAAACAACAACAAACAAUUCAGUCUAGCCGAACAUUAUAUAUACCAUACAAUACAUUAUAAAACAAUGGAUAACAAUGAUCCAAACAAAGUGUUAAUGGUCAAAAGUCAAAAUUUGUUGGUUCUAAAAGAUUUUUUUUCAUUAAACAAGUAGGGCGAAAGUUUUCAUGGUCAACAAAUUCAAGGAGAUUUUUGUAAAUCACUUCUUGUUUGGUACGUGAUUAAGUAAUUGUUAUUUUUUAAUGUUGAGUGAAAUCUAAAUAAAAAUAUUCUUAAUUAAAUUACGAAAAAACAACUACCAUAACGUUGAAGUUACAAAUGAAUCUCUGAUAUAUUUUACUAAAGUUCUUAAACUUCAUUUAUAUGAAAUAUGUGUGCUUUAGUAUAUAGGACAUAAUUCUUGGAUGAUCAGUAAAAAAAAGUUCACAAAUCUCUUUGUUUGAGUUCUUUUGUACUGUUGUAGAAUCAAAUUGUAUAAUCGAAGUUAAAAUUUUAUAGUAUAUGAUCAUCUUAAUUAAAAUUUACAUUAUUAGAAAACAACUUUUUUUUUUUAUGAUUUAGAGUAAUUAUAUUCCUAAUAUGUUUUUUAUAUAUAUAUUUAACAAAAUUUAGCUUUCGUCUGCAAAGUAAUAAGAUUCUUCUAAUUAUAGUGUGUUAAAUUCAGACACUGGGAUUUAGGUAUAUAACAUUUGAAUUAUUUGUUACUCUGGUUAGAAAAAGGAAACAACUUAAAACACAACUCUAUUAACCAAAAUGUACAAAAUAAAUAUACAUUAGUUAUUGUAAUUAAUAGUGAAAAAAGCAAGACCAAAAAUGCAACCUACGAAGUAAAAUGUACUGUAAUAUACGUUAUAAUGUAAUAUAAUAUGAAUGUUUAAAAUCGAACCCUAAUUGAUAAUUUUAAAUGAAAAAUAGUUAUUGGAUUAUCAAUUUAAUAUUUUCAGUAAUAAUUUUAAAUUUUUUAAUUAUUAGACAGAUCAGGGAUUCUUUAUGGUUUUAAUUUUUUCCUUAAUAGAUUAACCAAUACCUCCAAUUAAAGUAAAUUAAAUAGUUAUAUUUUUUUAUUACUUAGUAUCAAACUCUAUCGUCCAAAGUGAUAAGGUUCGUCUGAUUUCUAUUUCUAUUUAUAUAACAGUAUCAAACUUUAUCGUCCAAAGUGAUAAUGUUCGAUUUUAAACAUAAUGCGAUCAUUCGUCUAAUUUCUAUUUCUAUUUAUAUAACUUAGUAUCACACUCAAAGUGACAAUAUUCGAUUUUAAAUGUAAUGCGAUCAUUAUCACUUUGUUUGUAAGUGAUUUUGAGUGACUCUUUGAAGUGUCAAAUCUUAACUAUAACGAUUUAAUGAAUAAUUAGACUAUCAAUAACCGACCGCCCUGGAUAGACAACCACAUAGAGGGCCUCUAUCAGUCUAUAUAUUCUUUGAUUUUGUUCCCCUCUAUGAGGUCUGCAAGUUUCACAUCUAAGUAAUACCCGUCUUAAUGAUUCAUAACAUAUCUACUAAUAUCUAGAAACCAAUAACCAAAACCGAACAUACACAAAACAUAGCUUUUUUGUUUAUGUUAUUUAAAAGCUUACACAAGUCAAAAUUAAACAAGUCGCAAAUACAUUUGAAGGGGGCUAAGGCCUCUUAAGAAAGCAAACAAAAAGACCCAAACAUACAAACUUCACAAACAAAACAAGUCCUCCUAUUUUAGUAAUCUUCUGGAGCCAAAGGCUGAUGAUGAGUAUGAACUGGAGCUUCAUCAUGAGCCUGUAUGAGUCCAAAUUCAUAGAUAAUUCCAGCUAUGGCUGCACCAAUGAAUGGGCCUACCCAAUAGAUCCAAUGAUUCCUCCACCUCCAGCCCACUAAAGCAGGCCCAAAAGCCCUUGCUGGGUUCAUGGAUGCUCCUUCAAAAGGCCCACCAACAAGGACAUUAGCUCCAACAAUGAAAGCAAUAGCAAGAGGUGCAAUAAUCCCCAAACUACCCCUCUUUGGAUCAAUAGCUGUUGCAUAAACAGUGUACACCAAACCAAAUGUCAUCACUAUUUCCAUCACAAGUGCAUUUCCAUUGCCAACUCCUGAUGCUACCGCAAAUCCCACUGGCCUCUGUAUCCACACAGAAAAUGGUUGUUCGUUGUAGUAAAUAAUUAAUCGAGUAAAACCAUAGUGUAGGUACUCGCUUUGUACCAUAAAGAAUGACAUCCGAUCGUUUUUUUUUCUUUUUCGUCUGUUUUUUUUUUAAAAAAAAAAAAUCCUUUCUUCCUUUUCUUCAUGGUCAGUUUCAAAAAGAACUAUUUUUCCUUUUUCUGAUAAAAUUUUAAUUUCAACUAUUCACAUAACAUAUUUGAGAUCACAAAUUUAAAUAACAAUUUUGUAUAUUUUACAUAAUUUUAAAAAUCUUUUUUAAUUUCAUGUCAAAGUCAAACUAAAUCAUUUUAAGAAAGAGAGUAAUAUAUAAAAAAGAAAAAAAAAGGACAAAUAUAUCCUAAACUAUGAUAAGUUUAUGAUAAAUGAUAUAAAGAUGCCUCUAUCUUACUUUUGAAUCAUAGUAAGAUACCAUUAAAACUAAGAGACACACAAGUAUCAUGAUCUUAUCCACCAGCCCGAAGAUUGAAGGAUAUAUACUCACUAAUUGUUGUCUUUGGACGACGAGUCCCAAAAAUAUGACUGAAGAUAUUUAUUCACCACUUAAAAUAGUUCGGUAUAUAUUUAUCUUUUUUUCCAAUAAAAAAAGCUUAUGAGAAUUUAAGACUGAAGUAUUCCCCUUUUUAAUUUUUGUAAAAAAUAUUCCCUCUGUCCCAAAGUUCUGAGAAAAAAAAAAUGAAACUCGUAGUCUAAAACAAGUCUCCAGGGAUUUUCCGAACUAAAAAUCAUUUCAUCAAGAGUAAAAGUAAAACAGAAAAAUUGAAGUUAAAUUAUUUCUAUUAAGCUUCUGUUUUCCGAUGGAGUGUCUUACCAAUCCAUCCGUAGCAAGCCUCAACAAGGCAGAGGCAACAACAGCACCUAGCAACUGACCAAUCCAGUAGUACAUAGCACGAAGGACGCUAACUCGCCCGCCCACAAGAGCACCAAACGUAACAGCCGGGUUGAUAUGACCACCGGAGACGUUCAUACUGGACGCUACCGCAGCAAACAGCGAAAACGCAUGCGCGAGUGCAAUCGCCGUCAAUCUCGACGCUCCUAAAGCUCUAUCAGGGUACAACUUAUCUACACAUACAAUCCGCACGAAUAACAAUCAGUAAACAAUAAUACAGAAUGUUUUGUGCAUCGAAUUGUCACGGAUAGAAUUAAUUAGGAGUUAGGAGUUACCAAGGGCAAGAACAGAUCCUUCUCCAGCAAAGACGAAAAUGAAAGUAGAGAGAAACUCAGAUAAGGUAGCACGCACAGAAUCAGGGUGUGUAGCUUCAUCCGCCCUGCCAAACUCAUAUCUCCGUGGCUGCAUAAUUGUGAGUAUAUUUUUUUUUUCCACACAAAACACACCGCUUAAAGAUAAUAACAAUAAUAAUAAUAAUAAUAAAAAAUAUAAGACGAGGCUAAUAGAGAACGAUAUGAUCGAGGGGGGGUGUUUAUAUAUAGAACAGAUGGGUUACAGUAAGAUAAUAAAAGUGGACACCUGGGAGUAGCACUGCAUGAAUAGUGACACGUAUACUACAUGCAUUACGUUGUCUCUUUCGAUCCAAUCAACAACCUCUUUAUCUGACUUCACUUGCUAAAACUCAAACGUUACACUAAAACUAAACGACAAUAUAUAAUAAAACCAUUGCUUUUAAGCAUAAUAACCUAUCGUCUUGAUUUUAACUGAUAUUUAUGUUUUUAAAGCAUAUAUAAAUAAAUAUUAGUUAAAUUUGUUUUUGAAAUUUAGUAUACAUAUGUUCUAUGUAAUAUUUUAUAUGAUAAUUUGUGUUAGAUUCGCUCAAACUGAUUAAUACGUGCACAUCAAAUGUGUAUACAAAUAUCUAUUCAAAUUUGAUAUAAGUUAAAUGAUCACUUAUGUUCAUUCAAAGUAUAAAUUCAUAAAAAUCAAAUUGUAAGACACGUGUAUAUAGUAUGCCUACUUAAUAAUGUUUUUCAAUUGAAAUUAUUUCCAAUUACGUCUUCAUUCACACUAGCAUAAAAAUACUCGAUAAAAGUUAUUUUUUGAAGAUGGUGGUUUGAAUCUUUAAUUGUAAUAUUAGAUGCAUGUUACAGUACCUUAUGAUUUUCUAUUAGCACAAUAUUUAAAAUCGAGAAACGUGCACGACAAAUGAUAUUAAUAGCAAAAUAUAGAGCUCUAGAGAGAAUUGGCUGCACUGAAUUUGUCAUAAAUCGACGUUUUUAGAUCAAUUGAUUCAUUAUAGCUGUCAGCUGUGAUCAAUGAAAUUGAACCUAAAAAUCUGUUGCGUGAAAUUAAACAUAUGUGAAUGAGACUUGUGAGGUGGGUGAUAGUGAGAUGCAAAUUUUAUGCAAAACGAUUAUACCUCACAUCUCAACUAUGUAAAAUUACAACAUACAAUUUAUCGAUAUUCACUUGUCAGCUAAUUUACGGUAACAACAUUUAGGCCUCUGCGAUGGAUCCUCGAUCAAAAUGGCCACAUUACAAAUGCUAAGGAUAUUUGAUGAUUUAAACACUAUGAUCUAAGAAUCAUUCAUCAAUCAAAUCCAUACAGAAUCAAUCUUCAUCAUCUGAACUCUCAUAUGCUGCUAUCGAGAUUUUUAUCGGAUUAUCUACCUUUGUUUCUUUUUCAGUAUCAUUUGGUUUAGCCGGCAAGACAUCUUUCUGCUUCUCCUGAUUGGAAUCAUAAUUAAUACUAAGAAUAACUUGUGUACUUGAGAUGGAAUUACUCCCAUCAAACCUUCUAGAAACUUUCGGCUUCUUAGGCUUGACUCCUAAAACACUUUUUAGUAAAUCUUGCUGCCUGUAGACCAGUAUAUAUCUUAUUAGUUUGAAUAUUUGAAUACAAAAAAUUAUCAAUAUGUAAAGAUGGCUCGCCCUGCGAUUACUGGGGCACAAAAACUAGGAGAAAGAAAGACGAGGGAGAAGACAUGAAAGAAAAAGUGUCUAAAGUAAAAAUGUAAAAUUAAUCAAUUGUACAUGAUCCCACUUUUUGGCUUGGGCUCAACAGGAAGUGGCAGGGGAAUAGAUGCAGGUGAAGAAUCAACAAUAUCUUUGUUUAAACUAGUUAAGCAACACAUAGAAAAUGUAAACGGUUAUACAACUUGAUAACUGAAGAUAUCUUUCAUUUUUUGGGGGAUAAGUUAUAUGUGUCCCAACUUUCGUAAGCCACAACGCAUCCUCUCUGCUGGCAAAGCUAAAGUCUGACGGGGUAAAUCAUCAAAUUAACUUUUUAAUAACUUUAUGUGUAAAUGAAUUCAAUUUACAUCAAUUAGCACUCGCCGUCACCAUUCAAUAUUAUUAUCCAGAGGUAUCAAAGAAGGAACAAACAAAAAAGGAUAUCUUGAAUGCUUGAAAUGCACAUUUUUCCGUACCUUGCAGAAGGCGUUCACAUCUUCGUCAACUUCCAUCUGUUCCUUAAGGUAAAGUAAGUCAUCGUUGUCUAGGGAUGCAAAAUAUAACUUAAACAAGGUUCAAGAAACUAUUUCACAUUUUCAUUAUAUGGACAAACUAAUGUACCAAAAGGAGGAAGCAAUUAUUGUGAGCAAGAAUCUAUACCGCCUCUUCCAUGAAGGUAACCUCCAUGUUUCACAGCAACCUCUUGCAUCUAAACAUGUCAAGCACCCAGUAGGAAAAGCCAGGAUCCCUGUCAGGGCAUGUUAUCAGAACUUGAGGCAUGUUAUGAUGAAAAUUUUAUAAUAUAACCUGACCUUGAAAUAACUUUAGAUUACAAAUUUAUCUGACAUAUCUGAACUUCUGAACUUACAAUGAUUCAAGACCAACAUUUUUUUUCAGUAGUAGUAAAUAGUGUUAUAACAUAUCCCCAAAGACUUUCUGUAUCCAAAUAUACUGCAAAACGUCUUAUCUAAAUGCUAAUAGGUGGCCAUAAUAUUUUCCUUAUUUCAAUCCAUAACUCUUCUAAGUGGUUUACUUGGAAUAAUCAAGCAUUCCCCUUGCUAAAAAAAACAAAUUAAAUCUAGUUGCUUAUAUAAUUAACACAAAAUAAAUCUGUAGCUUGGCGUUCAGUAGCAGAAAGAGGAAGGAGAGUGGAGUAAAUACAAAGAGCAGUAAAUGCAAAAUGUUCUGAUUGCAGAUGCAGUCAGUUUCUCAAUUCUUCCAGAAUUUGAAAAUGAAAACUUCUUCAUUUUUUUCCUUUUGAUAGCUAGAAUAAGAGGAGAAAUACAAUUGUAUGAAAUCGAGGUUGUUGAUUUUACUGCAGAAGGUGGAGGCAAGGUGGUUGGGAGAUGGAGAAGGAGGAGGUUGGAAAAGAUGGUAACAGAGGAGAUAGAGGAGGAGUUAGUGGCGGAGGGGGAUGAUGGUAAUUGGGGUAAGGCAGAGUGUAAGUAAGAAAACUUGGAUGCUAAUUAAAUUAACAUCAUUAAUUCUUAUCUCAAAAGAGUUACUCCUAACCAAUAUAAAACCUGAGUCACCUUUUCUCAAAUAAAAGAUACAAACUUCACAUCAUCCAACAUAGAACAUGGUGAUCAUUCUAACAUACUCCUACUUUUAUCGUAAAUCGUGCCAUCUUUUCUGGAGUCCUUCAAUUCGUUGUUAACAUCUUCCUUACAUAUCAUUUAUUUCACUAUGCCGAUGAAAAAUCAUAUAUAACAAAUGAUCAAGUUUAUGAAAAACUAAGCAGCAUAUGCUAUGCAAAAAACUGAAACAUAUGCUAUGCUCGAAUUAUAAAUUGUUGCGGAGUUAAAAUAAACAAAUAACUAAACAGUCUCCUCCAUGUCAACUUAAAUUUCUAAAUUAAGGUGUGGUUCAAUAAGAUUAAUAGCUAAAGCUGCUAAACACAAUUCAACAUCAACUUUCAAGAGUUGCUAUGGAUUUAAUUUUGCUAAAAGCAGACAGAAUUCAAAUCAGAAAGCAAACCUCACUCACUUCUAAUAAAUUUAACAACCAUAAAAAGUUGAAGAAACGAGAUUCGCUAACCUUGGAAACAAUGCGUUGGAAAGUGACCUCCUCGCCAUCUAUCUUGUCCUUCCCUUUACCAAAUUUCUUAUCUGUCAAAUAUUUGUUUGCAUUUACAAUUUAAACCUAAAAUAGCAAAUCAAUUAGCAAAAAAUUAGCUGACAGUUACAUAUUUGUUAUGCAAAAAUACCUUUAGGAUCGGUUAGAUUGGUGUAUUCUCAAAAUUCUUUUCCUGCCAUGGCUUCAAUUGAGGGUUUAUUAUAAAUUGCAGAGAUUAUUAGCUCAACAUUGUGUGCUUUGAUUUAGGGCUUUUUUCGAAAUUGAGUAUUUUUCUUCUUUCUCUCUCUGUGAAUUUAUCCUCUUUCUAAAUGCGGAUCAACAGUCGGGUUAAGAAACUUUAUAAUAUGUUUCACACCACCAAUGUUAAUUGUAUGAGACCUCUUAAAUUUUGACAAAUGGAAAGUGGAUUUAAAAUUUACUUUUAAUAUAUAUAUAUACUAAGAAAAAUAUGAUUUUACAUAUUCUUUAGUGUUUAGUGUUUGAUAAAUAGUAAAUAUAACAAUAUCUUAAAAGUAUUUACAUAUAAUAUAAUAAAAUAUUAUGACAAAGGAAUAAGGUGGGGGGAUUUGAAGGUGAUAGAGACAAUGAACUAACAACAAUAAAAGAGUACAACAACUAAACAUAAUAAACAAAUGAUAAAUGUCAAAAGCAAAGAAACUACAAGAAUAAAGUUAAUAUUACAGACAUACACCGCAAAGUCUAAAUCUAUCAGAAAGCAAAACAUGUUUCAUUACCUACUAACCUUCUAUAUUAAUUUACAACCUCUAUAAUCUUAUUUAAUGUCGUAUAUUCAAUAAACAAAUAUUACAUCAUAUCAUGUUUAAUCACAUCUCCUUAUAAUUUUUUUGAUUUCCUCCUAUUCAUCGUAUAAAACCUCUCAAAACUCCUCGCCAAGACCCCUUCCUACCUCCCCUUCAUUAAUUCCAUAUCAAUAUGAUGUGUGACACCAUAAUUGAAAAUUUAUCAUGGUAAUUGAUAAUAAAAAUUAAUAAUCUAUAUAUAUAUAUAUAUAUAUAUAUAUAUAUAUAUAUAUAUAUAUGAAUCUUGAUCCGCUAAUGUGGCGCACUCCAAUGGUCAGCAUUUGUCAAUAUCUAUUUUUAUCUUUUUCUGAUUUAUUUUUUAUUUUUAUUUCAAAACAAAUAUAUAAAUGAGUAAAAUAUCACACUAAAUACUAUGACUAAUUACUUGCUCAGUUAUAGCCCAAAAAAUGCAGUCCAACCCAUUUAAAACUCAGCCCAAAUACAUCACAUUAAUUACCCAAAUUAAAUAGAUUUUAAAUCAAUUUUUUUAAAAAAUUACUCACUCCUCAAAUUUGAAAUUGUUAUAAAGAAUUAUUUGUUGAAUUGCUAUCUUUAGACUUUAUGGCAACAUUUAUUGUUAUUUCAAUUUAAAAACACAUUAUGAUUUUGUUAAAAUAUUUAUUACUUAUUCAAUCCAUAAAAGUUAUAGUUAUAUAUAAUAUAAAAUUAUUUCUUUCAUCUCCUUUAUUCGUUUUUAUAUUUAUUCUUUUCCUCUUUUAUUUAUUUUUACAAUUUCAUAUUUAUAACUUAUACCUAUUAAAUUUCUACUUUUAAUACUAUCAUUAACUCUUUUAAUAUUAAAUUUUCAUAUUCAUAACCCCCAAGUAUUUAAUUACAAUAUUUAAGACACUUUAUGAUAUAUUCUCAAAUUUUACCUUUAUAAAUUCAUAAUAUUUUGUACCGUGGAUCCCAACUCAAAAUUAUUCAUUUUAUUUCAAUGUUAAUCUUUAUAUUAUUAUGGGAAUGGGGAAUCCCAUCUUAUUAUUAUAGGAUCAUAUAUUCAUAUUCAACAUAUGUUGAUGAAGAAGACUCUUUGAUAAGAGUUUCAAAAAUAUGCACUAAUUCUGUAUUUCUAUUUUGAUGUAUUCUCUUGUGAUUAAUGUGUGUUCUCUCCAUGUAAAUUAAGAUUUUCUUAACUUUCAUUGUUAAUCUUUAUAUUAUUAUCGGAUCGAAUUUAUCUUGUGGCAUAACUUGAUAAAAAAGGUUUUUGAAUGUUAAUUAGUUUGUCAAAAGGGAUGUUGGAUAAGAGUAACAAAAAUUGUGCAUUGAUUAUGCAUUAUUACUUUCAUAUGUUUUCUUAUGAUUAAGGUCCUAAGGAAAAUGUGUGUUGUUUGUUCUCUCCAUGUAAAUCAAGAUUUUUUCUUAUUUCAUUGUUAAUCUUUAUAUUAUUGUAGGAUCGAAUUUAUUUUGUGGCAUAACUCAACGAAGAAGACUCUUGGAUGUUAGUUUGCCAAAAGGAAUGUCGGAUAAGAGUAACAAAAAUUGUGCAUUGAUUAUACAUUAUUAUUUUUAUGUAUUUUCUUAUGAUUAAGGUCAUAAAAAACUAAGAAAGAUAGAUGUGUUGUGUGUUCUCUCCAUGUAACUCAAGAUUAUUUUUUUUAUUUCAUUGUUAAUAUUUAUAAAUAUUAUUAUUAUUAUAGGAUCACAUUCAUCUUUUAGCAUAACUCGAUGAAGAAGACUUUUAAAUGUUGAUUAGUCUGUUAAAAAGGAUGUUGGACAAAAGUUCAAAAAAACUGUGCAUCGAUCUAUAUUUCUAUUUUUCAUUUAUUUUCUUGUGAUUAAGGUUAAGGAAGAUGUGUGUUCUUUUCAUUUAAUUUCUUUGGAUUGAGUUUUCAUUAUUUCUACUCAUGACCAUUCUUUUCACUUCAUAUUUGAAGUAGUGUUUUGCUAUUAUUAUUAUUAUUAUUAUUAUUAUUAUUAUUAUCAAAUUCUUAUGCUUGACUCGGUGAAGAAGACUCUUGAUUGUUGAUUAGUUUGUCGAAAAUAGUGUCGAUAAGAGUUUUAAAUUUCUACAUUAAUUUAUAUUAUUCUUUUCACUAUGUUCUUAUGAUUAAAGUCAUAAAAAUAUGUGUGUAUUAUGUUUUUUUUCAUGAAUUUUAUUAUGUUUGAAGUUUUAUGAAUUUUUUAUUGUCACAAGUAUGUACCUUUGUUAGAUACAAAUUAGUUAUUGUAAUUUUGUCUAUAAUAUGAUAAAAACUCACCUAUGUUCAAACAAUAUUUUGAUAAUUUUAAUAAUAUAUAUUAAAUGUUGAAAUAUAUCUCUUUUUAUGGUAUUUCUUAUGGCAAUAAGUAGUAUCAUUUAUGUUUUCUUCAAAUUUGUUCAAAAAAUUAUUGGUCCAUUUGAAGUACUUGCGAGUAGAGGAGGUGGCUUAUGAGUUAGCCUUGCCUCCAGGGCUGUCCGGAGUGCAUCCGGUAUUCCAUGUGUCUAUGUUGAAAAGAUACCAUGGGGAUGGAAACUACAUUAUCCGUUGGGAUUCAGUUUUACUUGAUGAGAAUUUGUCUUAUGAGGAGGAGUCUGUUGCCAUUCUAGAUAGAGAAAUUCGCAAGUUGAGAUCAAGGGAGAUUGCAUCCAUCAAAGUUCAAUGGAAGAAUCAACCCGUUGAAGAAGCCACUUGGGAGAAGGAGGCAGAUAUGCGAGAAAGAUACCCACAUCUGUUUACAGAUUCAGGUACUCCUUUUCGCCCUUGUUUUCCUUCUUGUGAUCGUUCGGGGACGAACGAUCGGUAAAUUGGUAUCUAUUGUAACGACCUGUUUAGUCGUUUUUAGCAGCAGAUUUUAUUUCUGAAAAAACAGGCUGAGGUGACGGACCCCACGACGGACCGUCAUGGGCACGACGGACCGUCGCAGGGUCUCGUUUCAAAACACUUAGAAAAUCUGAAAUUGGGUACUGAAAAUCGACUCUCUGAACUUCGUAACGGAAUAGCAGGACGGACCGUCACGAACCGACACGUAGAUUUAGGGAAUCGGGUGUCACGAACCGACACGUAGAUUUAGGGGAUCGGGUGUCACGAACCGACACGUAGAUUUAGGGGAUCGGGUGUCACGAACCGACACGUAGAUUUAGGGGAUCGGGUGUCACGAACCGACACGUAGAUUUAGGGGAUCGGAGUGUCACGUUCCGACACAUAGUAGUAGGGGAUCAGAGUGUCACGUACCGACAUAAGAGGAUUAAUGAAUAUGAGGGAGCGGAGUGUCACGUACCGACACAAGAGAAAUAAAGAUAAUGAAUCUUGAAAGAUGUUAAUAUACUCAAUCUAAUGAACAUAAUUCCCAAAUGAGUAUGAUAUUGAGGCUUGAGUUCUCAUGUGUGAACUUGACGGUAAUUGUUAAUGAUAUAGUACUUGUUGUUGCUACAUGUUGAGUAUCAUAGUUGAUUUUAUGAUAUUACUUAGUAUAUAUUGUUAUCUAUUUUGAAUUGGCCGAUGAUAUUUACUCAGUACCCGUGUUUUGUACUGACCCCUACUUUUAUUGUUUUCUUCUUGUUUAAUUGUGGAGUGCAGCAAACGUGCCGUCAUCUUCGACUCAACAGUAACUCUAGCCAGUCUUCGUCACAUUGGAUCUUCAGGGUGAGCUAAUGUUUCUAGCUUGGACUGGAUCUUCUUCCUCAUGUCUUGAUGCCUUGAAGUUCCGGCAUGGACUAGCUUUUAUGUAUUUUUAGCUUAUUAGAAUACUCUUAGUUUAGUAAUUUGAUCAUAGAUGUUCUUGUGGUGAUGACUUCCAGAUUUUGGGGAUAAUAAUAGUUAUUGAAUUGAUUUUAUUAAUGAGUUUAAGUCUUCCGCAUUACUUUCUGUUGAUAUUAUAUUGAAAUGUUAAGGUUUAGAUUGGUUGGUUCGCUCACAUAGGAGGGUAAGUGUGGGUGCCAGUCGCGGCCCGGUUUUGGGUCGUGACAUUUAAUAUACUAAGUAAUGAAUAUAUAUCUUAGGGUGUUCAUGUAUUAAUUUUAUAUAGAAAGAGGUGCAAUCAUUGAUCUGAGAAUGCAAGAAAUAUAUUUGAAAUGAAACAUAUUAUCAGAGUAUUCAAUUUAAUUAACUUUUGAAUUUUAUUAUUCUAUACACAUAAUAUGUGAAGAUGUUUAUUAUCUAUCAAAUAUUUUUAUGUAGUUUAUAUGAAUCUUUUAUCUUUAUAUUUAAUAUAAAAGAUAUAGAUUAAAAUAAGUAAACGAGUUAAUAAUUUUUUUGAAAAAACAUAUUCUCAUUCGAGGUUGAUUAUAUUGAAAUUUAAUAAUAGCGUAACAUUUUGGAUAACAUCCUUAAAAAACAAAUUUGACAAAUGAUAACAAUUAUCUUUGAUAUAGGUGCAGCUAAAGAAUCUAAAAUACCAAUAGAUGUGAUUCAUGCAAAAAUCAUACAAAUUUAAAUAGUAUAUUUGAAAAAGGAACAAAAACGAUUGAAAAAUGAAAUAUUCAAAUGAGUUUUAUCAUAUCAAUAUGAAAAAGGAUAACAAGACGUGUAGAUGUAUUUUAUUAGUAUUUUUUCAGUUAUUUAUAAUAUAAUUCUUAUGUACUCAAGAAAAAAAUUACAUCGGAGUAUAUGUUGUAAUAUAAAGAUUCAAACUCAUUGAUAUUCUAAUAAAAUGUAGAAAGUGACAUAUUAACUACAUGUCCAAACAAAAAAAUUACUAAGAAAAUAUAUAUUGACAUUUGACAUAUUGAUUAAUAAUGUACUAUCCCUCAUUUAAUAGAUUAUAGAUGUUAAAUUUGUUAAGUUUCAUUUCAAUCGUCAUCUCAAAACGAUAUUCAUAAUUAAUAUAUAAGUAAAAAAAAUAAAGUGAUAAUAUUACGUUUGAAAAUAAAGAGAGCUAUAGAAUUAAUUAAAAAAAGUAAUCCUUUAAUAUUUAUUUUAAAGACUGCGCGAAGCGCAGCCAAAUUCCCUAGUGUCUAAUAUUUGUAAAGGAUAAUUAAAUAGCUAAUAGUAAUGAUUAACUAUUAGUACUAUAUUUUAUGGUUGUUAUAGUAAUAUAAGGUUAAUAUAGAUGAUUAUAAAUGAUUGUUCGGUAAUGGUGGUUAGUGACUACUAAUUUACCAUAAUUAAUACUUAAAAAAGUAUAAUUUAUAAAGAAAAUUGAUAGUGCUAAAUUCAUUGAGAUUUAAAUUCUAGUAAUAUAAUGUAAUAAAAAGUAUAUGUUUUUAUUACCCCACUCAAGGUUGCAGUGAGAUGAUGACAAUCCCUUUUUAAUUAGAUUUUCAGUUUUAAAAUAUUAGAUUGAAAAGCAGGUUCGAAACUAACUUUGAUAAGUAUAAUAUAUGUCAAAAACGUUGAUUAACUAUAUUUUUAUUUAUCUUUUUAUAUAAUAUAUACAAAUUAUCUCGACUCCUAUCUUUAAUAACAUAUAUUUCAAAAUUAAUAAAUAAAAUUAUGAUUUGAAUCCUAUCUUUAAUAACAUACAUUUUAAAAUUAAUAGAUAAAUAAAAUUAUGAUUCAAAAUAUAUGAAUUAAAAACAAAAAAGUCUUAAUACACCAACUUUAAUAACUAUAUGAAAUACUUUACCCUAAAAUGAAACUUUUCAAAUGCAUAUCUUCUACAUUAAUAGUUACCCCAAAGAGGAAAAUAAUAGUCUCUUUAUAUUUUGGCCACAAGUAAAAAACAACUAAUCGCACUCGUGGGGGUUGCCAAAAAUGUGAGCUAGGGAUGAAAGGGUAAAAUAGUCCAAUCAAUUUCUGGCCAAAAUACCACUGUACGUAAAGUCUCACUUGGCCAGGGUUUCAAAAUUCACUCCAUCCGAAGGGAUCGGAAACUCUGUUUUCUCCGAUUGGGGUUUUGGGCAGUAUCCGAUCGAGCGACUUUCCGGCAUCAAUUCAUCGGAAACGGCAGCUGAAUCAAUCGGCUCUUCUACAUUACCCUUCAGAUAAAUCCGUACAUUUCUAUACAACUGGUAGGUUUAAUUGCAACGAAGAAGGAACACUAGAUUUAGAAGAAGGGCGAUGGAUUUGGACCAGUGGAUAACGAAGGUUAAAGAGGGACAGCAUCUGGCGGAGGACGAGCUUCAGCUCCUCUGUGAAUACGUAUGUUUAAUACUUUUAUCCUUUUUUUUUCUCACAUCUACAAGUAUUUUCCAGUUUUGUAAUGAAAUUUGUCGGAAUAGUGAAGAAAUAGAUGUAGAAGAUUCCUGUCGCUGAGCUUAAAUAGGUAAGGUUUGAAAGGUUGAUUGUGUUAUUUGUUGACACAUGUCUAUCAAGCUGUUUACUAAAACAAAAUAAUCAUAAAUUCUAGUAAUAGUAAAGGUUAUAUUGAUUUUUCUAUUUGGCUCAUUACUUUUGGGAAAGCUGUUUCUUUUGGGAGGAGAGCGGGGGGGGGGGAGUUAGCUUGUAGAUAUUGUUGAUUUUGUUUUUCGUUUAUAGGCUUGUGUGGAAGGGAGGAAUGUCAAUGGGGAAUAUUUAUGCACAUUCAGCAGAUUAGUCUCAUUUUCACUUGAGGAAGUUAAUGAUUUUCUUACGUGUACUGCAAGUGUUUUCUUUUGGAGCUUGAUUUAGAGACUGUUUUUUGUGAUCCGGAAAAUUUCUCUUAGAAAUCUAACCAUAAUAAUAUGUACCAACUGCUCUUGUUUUUCUCAUAUCUCCAUCUAGUGGACUUAUUUUAUAGGGAUCGGAUUUGCAUGUUAACAAGAUAUGUUCCCCAUUAAUUUCAAAAGAACAAAACUCAUUUAACCUCAUAGGAAUCGGUAGGUUUACCCAGUAAAAACUUCAUGUUGGUUUGUCAAUUGCCCUUUCCUUUGCAUACUUCAUGGCAUUUGAUCAAAUUUCAAGGUUGAUAAACAUGACGGUGGGUGGGUGGGGCAGUAAUAGUGGCAAAGUGGUAUUCAGAAGGAAAAAGUUUCAUAGGCACUAAUUGGAAGUACAAAAUAAGCGAUGAAUAGGCUAUAAAGCAUAAUUAGUUUGUAACAAGAACCCAUUGUGACCUACAUAGUAUUGCUGCAGGACCGCCCUUCCUUUCAAGUAGUUGCUUCUAACAAAGAUUAUUGCAACCUGAGAUCUUUGAUUAUUCAAGCUAUUAGUAAACUCAAGCCUUUAUUCAUGCUUCCAUGCCAUCCAUUAGCCUACAAAUUUAGAUAAUGUGACAAUAUUUGGUCACGCUUAACACAUACAAUUCAGCUAUAUGACUAUUGGGUUUAUUCCCUGGCCUUGCCAAGACAAAGCCUGUUAUGAAGGUUUACAGAUCAAUAGAAUGCUUUUGAGAUGGGAGGAAAUGGAAAUAUAGGGGAGGCAUUUGCUUAUAUUUGUUGGGUGGAUGUAUAUUAGAGUUCCUCAGUUAUAGUUUUUGUCUUAUUUAUUUUGAUUAGGUGGUUAUAUUUGUGAGGUAAGUUCCUUCUCGUAUAAUUCCAUGAUUGUUUCGUGUAUCAUUUCACUUCCUGUGGUACUAUUAAUCAAUCCAGCAUAACAAGAGCUUGUCUUCUUUUGACAUGCAUGAUUGAGAGUCAAGAAUAACAAGAAUGACUACCUGAAGUAUGAGUCAUUACGCAAAUAAGUGGAGGUCUAAAUUGCUUCUUCUAUAGACAUCACUCAGAGAGAAGUGUUUGAUUGCUUGUGGCACAUGAUACUGAUGGUGCAUUAGAUUGGUAUCUUCUUCCUGCACACCAAUCACAUUAACAAUAGUCAUUGGGGUUAUGGGUUGUAGUAGGCAGAUAGUUCUUUUUGCAUUUGUUCAAUUAUGUUUACAGCCUUGCACUUCAGUAUCACAUCUAAUUUUACUUGAGAGCAUGCAUUGUAUUUCAUUUGUGUCUAUAACAUGUGACACUUUUUCACAGGUUAAGGAGAUUUUAAUUGAGGAGUCAAAUGUGCAACCAGUUAAUAGUCCAGUUACUGUUUGUGGGGAUAUACACGGCCAAUUUCAUGAUCUAAUGAAACUUUUCCACACUGGUGGUCAUGUGCCAGAGACAAAUUACAUCUUUAUGGUAAAAUUCAUAUGGUUUAUUCCUCGUCCAUAGAUGGACGGUUACGGAUUAUCUUUUGAAAAAAUUUAUGCCAGGAUUCUAGUUCACCCAUCUCUCAUAUUUGGACAGGGAGAUUUUGUUGAUCGUGGAUACAAUAGUCUCGAAGUUUUCACAAUUUUAUUGCUCCUUAAAGCAAGGUAUGGUAAGAAAUAUUUAUAUAGAAUUUGCAUCACCUGUCUACUUUAGGAAAAUGGUUUUAUUGCUUAUUCCUUACUGUCUCAUGAGGAAUCAUUAGGUUGAUAAAAUUGUUAAUUGCACUGUGAACUUUGUGCUGUGGACACAUAUAUUUUGAUAAACGUUCUAUUAUCUUUUAAAUAAAAUUACCGUAGGUACUGUUUUCUUUUUCAAAUCAAUUUGAUGAUCAUGGGAAGCAUUGAGCUUUUAUAAUAUUCAUGUUUUUGCCUAUAUUUUAUGAUGGUUCCCCUUCUCUUGUUCUCUGUCUUCCACUUUACCCAGUAUUUUCAUCUUCAACGAUUGACUCAUAUUAUCUUCUUUGCCUCAGUUGAGCAAAUUUGAAUUUUGUAUGGCACUGGCCGCUGUUGAUUUUCCUGCUAGUCUAUUGAAAGGUGAUAGGGCAUUGGUUCUUAUUUAUCUACCUUUUGUUUUUAAUUUGCUACCAGAUAUCCAGCAAACAUUACACUUUUACGCGGGAACCAUGAAAGCAGGCAGCUAACUCAGGUAUUAGAUGUUAUGCUUAGAUAUAGCUAUUUAAGAAGUGUGUGUUUGACGUAAGUACCAUAGAUGCGCUUGGGAUUCUUUAUUAUAACAAUUUUUUUGAAGCCAUUCUUGACCCCUCCCCAAAUUUAAAAAAUACUUGUUCCUUUUUCUUCUUAAAGAAGCAAUUGUUCUGUUGCUGUCAUUGGGUUGUCUGACUAAAUCUGCAGACAGCAGAUCUAAAAUUGGCAGUAUGGCUCCCAAGGCCAUUGGGAGUUUGACUUGUUAUUGGGAAAAAACAAGAUUCUUCUGUUUUGAAGUACAAUUUUAUACCUAAUUUGCGUUUCUGGCUUAAGAGCGUUUUGCUAGAGUGUCCAGCUCAACUUUUGGAAUUCUUGGAUUCUCUAAUGAUGUAAUACAGAAAGUAGACUGCGACCCGACUUCCUUAAUUUAUGCUAGUACCAGCUUGGUACCAUUAUAUCAAUAAUCUACCUUACCUUACCCCAAAAAAAAGAAAGAAGUCCCCAAGGCCUUUGAUCUGUAUUAGUGAUAAGGGUAUAAGGGGAUGUGUUGGUAGGGUGAGUUUGAACCCUGCUGCUGCUGAUGGAAGUUUGGUAUUUAAGUGGAGGCAAAAUAAAGGGGUGGGACCAUACACACCUGAUAAAUAAAAGAAGAAGAGGGUGGGGCCAUACUCUGCUGAGUUUCAAACUUGUGGGUCGAUAGGAGUUGGGCCAUCUAAUACAUUGUACUUCUCAGUUAUAAAAAAAUGAUAGAGAGAAAAUUGAGCUGGCCGUUACUCUCUGUGAGGGUUUCUUUUUUUUGAACUCACGCUUGGACAAUGUUUAAUACUCUCUUGUAUUCUUAAUGAUUACUGUUGUUGCAUUCUAUGCUCAUUGUAUUUAUGGGUUCUAGCCUUGAAAUAUCAGUAAGGCGACUCAUGAUGACUGUGUUGCAAAGGCCUAACUGGAGUAGCCUUUGAGCUUGGUGCAGCUAAUGUUGAUGCAUUCUGGAGGAAGCUUACUUUGUAACUUGAGUUUUAUUCAGUAUUUGCUUAUUACUUUUAUUGUUGUUGCUGCUGCUCUUAUUUUAAGUUGAUACCUUUGAUUUUGUUCUGUCCACACUUAGAGUUCUUUGAAGAUUUGCUUCUAUGGGAUGGAUUUAUGCAUGGCAUGCAAAAGAUCACACCUCCUAGACAUGUUAUUUCUGAUAUUUACUUUCUACCUGUUUUUAAUAGGUCUAUGGAUUCUAUGAUGAAUGCCAAAGGAAGUAUGGAAAUGCAAAUGCUUGGCGGUAUUGCACUGACGUAUUUGACUAUCUGACUCUCUCGGCAAUUAUAGAUGGAACAGUAUGUUCUGGUACUCUUGAUAAGAUAAUAAUUGUUUGGCCAUAUCUUUCAUAUAUUAAUCCGCCUGUGUUCCAAUUCAGGUACUAUGUGUCCAUGGUGGCCUUUCUCCGGAUGUUAGGACUAUUGAUCAGGUAGCUGACUUGAAUGUUGACGUGUUUUGUUUUUUUACUGUAACAAGUUUCAGAUUGUUCAAGUGUAUUGAUGUGAUAUAUCUUGACUUAGGCGAUGGAAUUAAUAUGCGGGAUCAUAAAGAACUAAUAUUGAUUCUUGGUUAUCCACUGAGUUUUGAAUCUAGAAACAACAGAUUUAUCGGUUAACCAAAAAACAAACAAUCAAGGAACUGAUAUAGCUUCUUUUUGUUUAUGACAUGCAGAUCAGGGUCAUUGAUCGUAAUUGUGAAAUUCCGCAUGAAGGGCCUUUUUGUGAUCUUAUGUGGAGUGAUCCUGAAGAGAUUGAAACAUGGGCAGUAAGUCCUCGAGGAGCAGGUUGGCUGUUUGGAUCCAGGGUUACCACUGAGGUAAGUGGGUUAAAGAUGUUAGAUAUUGCUAUAUUUCCUUUUCUAACAAUGUUCUCAUGCCAUGCUUGCAGUUUAAUCACAUCAAUAAGUUGGAUCUAGUUUGUCGGGCUCAUCAACUUGUCCAGGAAGGUCUGAAGUACAUGUUCCAGGACAAAGGACUCGUUACUGUGAGUACUGAGUAAUAAAUUGUUUAUGGCAUGUUGAACAUACAUUCUUUUUAACAUGUAGUAAGUAUAAUUAAUGUGACCCGUUUCCUUUGAAUGCGAAGGUUUGGUCUGCUCCCAACUACUGUUAUCGCUGUGGAAAUGUUGCUUCAAUAUUGAGCUUCAAUGAGAAUAUGGUACUUUUGCUCUUUUCAAUGCUUAUUCAACUUCUAGUUAGCCUUUCUAAAAUUAAGGGAUUACAUAGUAAUGCCCUUUCUGUUUGAUUGUGUAUUCUGACGAUCGUUGUACUUCAAAGUGAUGAGUACCUAUUUUUUUAAAAUUGAUCUUGCAUUUCAUGAUUCAACAUGGUAUGUGUUACGUUAGGUUAAAUUGAAGUUUGCCUAUUGUAGUUGGAUCAUAGAAGGGUGUUCAUCCUAGGACUUCAUUACUAACCUUGUUUCUUAUCAGAAAAUUAUUGAUGGAAAUGUGUCAAAGGAGUGCUGAAAUACUUAUAUCAAAAUUUCUUAAUGAUCUAGGAAGUAUCACGUUCCAGUAUAAAGGGUUGGAAAUGUGAUGCGAGAUUCUGAUGCCGACCUUUCCUUUGAUAAAGUUCCUUGUGGAGCUGCUUUAGUGCUCUCUCUUGGUGACUAGUAUUAGUAUUAGAAGAUUUUGAUAAGAUUUGUUUACAACUAUACACUAGAAACAUGGAGUGUAAUUGCAUAGGUUGUACUGGCUUAGCUAUGUGGUAAGGAAGAUGGAGAGAACAUGGAACGUUUUAGGUAGUUUCUCUUUAGAGCAUUCUCCACUGGCAGUUGUUCUAUGAUCUGAACUCCAGCUUUUGGAACGUCUAGUGUUAGCGUUGCAUAUCUUUAUAUCUAUCUGUUUAUUUAUGUUUUCCUGACAACUUUUUUUAUAAUGGAAUUUUUGCUGUGUUUGAUAGAAUCUUUCUUAUUCUUAUUUUUGUUCUGUUUUAUCAGGAGAGAGAGGUGAAGUUCUUCACUGAAACUGAAGAAAACAACCAGAUGCGAGGACCCAGGACAGGAGUACCUUAUUUCUUAUGAGUGCGUACUUGCCUUUUGUUGAUUGAUAUUAUUUCUGCACUCUGUGCUGUCCCUUGUUAGAGGGAAAUUGAAGCGGAAACUAUCUACUUGGCGGGAACCAGAUUGCUGUGUGGCUUGCUUCUCUCUCAUAAGAUGGCGAUACAUACCUAGCUUGUUGGGCUGAUCCUGCUUUCGAAUAGUUUGUGCUAUGUAUUCACAAUGGCCUUUUCAUGUUUGUUCCCAUCUGUUCCAUAAUUAUUCUUACCUGUGUCAUAGUUUGAACUCUACCUCAAAUCAGAUUACGAGAUGUUAGAUUUCUUCUUGCAAUGCUAGAGUACACUUUCCUUGAAAAAUGGGUCCAUUUACUUUCAAAAGCGCAGUAUUAGAAGUUGGUGGUACACUCACGAAAUUGGCAUUUGUUUUGCCCUCCCAGAAGGGGACUUUAGUUUUUUCCACAAAUUAGUUCACACCUUUCAGCUUCACUGUACCAAAAUCCCAUUAAUUGUUGUUUGUGCAGCAACAUUUCACGAUUAUUUAUCAUCGUAAUUACUGUUGAUCUUCACUCUUCAGUUCCCGUAUGCUCCUUUCCACCAUUCAUGGAAGCAAGGAGUACGUAAGGAACUUCUCGUCUCAUUAAUUGAAUCACCAUUUGUUAACUACAACUUCCAGCAGGUUGGCUUUGAAAUUGUUUACUCUGGUGGGAUGAUUGGUAAACAUGUGAGUUAUGCACAUAUAUAAUACAUGAAUGAGUUGCUUAAAUGUACUGAUUAUAAUAUAUGAAUUACUACUUCAUAACAAAAAGACAAUGAAGAAAUUGAGCAAGUUGCAGAAAUAACGAUUGUUUCAGCUCUAAUUAUCAAUCCUAGACAACGUUAAUUUUAAAAAAAUUGCAAUACAAUGCAUCCAUAGAUAAUUUCUCUUAUCUUUUUUCCAAAAAAAAAAAAAAAAUCGUCCAAAACAGGUACACGCAGCACCUUUAGGAAAAAAAGAGCAGGAUUUUGAUUUUAAUUUUACAUUUACCUUCACAGCUUGGAUAAUUGUCAUCCUUUCCGCUUCUAAUUUGGCAAAUUGGGUAAAAGUUAGUGAUUGCCUUGUUGUGCCAUAGUCGUAGUCUCUCCAGCGGCAGUAAAGACGGCCAACUGACACCAUUCUCUCCGGCGAACUCGAGUUGAAGGUACAUUUUUUUGAAUUCAUUACCAAUUAUUAAGUGAAAUUAAUAGCAAAAUCCUGCAGUACCCUAUUUCAAGUUGCUUUGUUUGCGUACACACUCUUUCAUUUUGAUUGAUAAUUUCUAGCUAUUAACUUGUGGAAGUAAGAAAACUAGUUGGUACAUCUGGAGAAACCUCUUUUUUGAUGAUUUUUUUUCUCUCUCAAUUUUCUGGUGGAGGUGAGGGGUGGUUAAAGCCAUUUGUGGCCUUUGCACUGGCUUAUCUCUUGGCUUUUGUAGAGAUUCAAUUGAAGAUCUUCCUAAUUUUUUCUUUGAUUGAUCAGCUGGUGUGUCCUUCUGACUUGUGAUAUAUUUUUAUGCUUUCAUUCUUGUUCUUUUUUCAAUAAAUGUGGUGUUUGAGUCAAUUUGUAUGCAUCUCGACUAGUUUCACGGGUAUUUACUAUCUGCUAUUUCCUACCAACAUAGAUAACGUGUAACUCUGUUCAUCAGUGCUUGUACAGAUAGGUAAAAAUCACCUAAUGUUUUUGUUUCACUGUGAUUAAACUUGUAUCCUCGUAGUUAUCAAUAUAUGGUAUGAUUUUCGUCUUACUUGAUUUUGAUUUUUGAAGGAUGGAACUAAUUCGAACGAUAAAAGACAUUUUUCUUAUCUUUAUCAAAUUCCUUUUUGUGCUACAGAGUCAGAAGAUGCAUGAAUGAUCUGCAUGCAAGAAUUUAUUAGAUUGGGGUAGAUGAUAUAGUUCUUCAUUGUAAUAUUUUGCAACUCAUUUUUAGGUACAUUGACCUUUGCUUUCAGUUUAACUUGGAGGACUGUUGUAAAAAGCCAUUUGCAUAUAAGUUUCUAGUCAAAUAAAUUUCUUACCCCCAUUUUUUGGUUCACUUUCACUUAAUUAUUAUGUUUAGCUUUUGGAGAGUCAAAUUGUAUUGACUUUCAUCAACACUUUACGGUAAUUUUAUUUGUUAUAUUAAUAUGAGAAUCUCGAGAAAGAUUAUAACUUAUAGUAUUUUUCUUUUAGUUUUUAAACAUUUAAAUUUAAAAUUUUGAAUUAAUCUAAUUUAGUUUAACUUUAAAAAUUAGUUAAAUUGUAAUGCCUAUCAACAAUUAUUAGGAUUUACGUCCCUUAAAUCAUUUUUGUUUAUCCAAUAUACAAAAAAAUAAAUAUUUUAUUUUAUUUAUUCAAUUAAAAAAUACUUAAAAAACCUAUUUUACUCUCAUUACGAAAUACUAUUUAUUUUUAAUGCAUUUUUAUAACAUUAAAUUUAUUAUAUUUAAAAAAUUUAUAGCAAAUUUAUUAUUUUAAUAUUUUUCUUUUAAGAAAUGUGUCUAAGUCAAAACAUUGACUAAUAAAAAUGGUGGGAGGAAGUAAAUGAUAAUUGAGUCAACUACUAUUAUAACAAUUACUAUUAGUGUUGUUAAAUGAUUUUUCCAAUCAUGAUGCUAAAACAUUAGGAGAUACUUAAGAUGAGUCUGAGUAUGUAUUAUUAAUGUUAGUAACUAUUUUUUCUUUUAGUUGUCCAAUUUGAAUUAUGAACACUUCUUAAAAAAAAUUAUUUGAGAUGUAUAUUGUAUCAUAAUAUUCAUAUUAAUUAAGUAGUAUUUAGUCAUAAAUUGCAAAUAAAUUAUUAAAUAUUAAGAAUAAACUAUUAAAAAAUAAUAUAUUAUUCCAAAAGUGAUUGGGAGCAAUAUAAUAAAAGAAUAAAAGUGAUUGGAGGGAGUAUUGUAUUAAAAUAUGAAGGUUUGACUUUUUUUUACUAAUAUUUUCCUUCUUGCCCCCUCUAACUAAUUUAUUUAUACAUAUUGCCCCAUAAACUAUGACUUUUUCCGUAAGACCCCCUCAUCUUUUGUUUUGUCUCAUUACCCAUUCACUCUCUUAUUUUAGGCGUAAUUCAAAAACUACCCCAAAUUCUAGGGUUUCUUUCACUUCUCAGUCCCGUCUUCCUUCCUUCUCAAUUUCCGUCUUCUUUCUCCUAAAUUACAGGUUCUGCAGUAAAUUUGCAAUUUUUUUUGUUUUUGUUUUGCUGUCUUACAUUGUCUGAAGAUUCUGCUUGAAGGUAACCAACUUGCUGGGCGGUGAAUUCUGCGUUUGAAUUGUUUGCUUUAUGUAUUUGCAUGGAUGAAGUUUUUGUCUUUUCCUGUUUUUAUACGAACUAGGCAUGCUAGGAGUAGUAUUUUGUAUCAGCUGAAUGAUGAUUACAGUGUUCAUCAUUUUUCAAUCUUCCAACUACUUAAAAGGAAAAUGAAAAAGAAUAAAAUUACACUGCUUUUGAGUCGGACACAGUCUCUCUAUCCCCACAAAGGUAGAGACAAGGUUUGUGUACCCUCCCUAGACAUGACUUGUAGGAUUACACGAGGUAUGUUGUUGCUUUUCCUUUUAAGUUUGCAACAAGUGAUAUUUUAGGAGUUUAGAUUCUCUAUUUACAUAUACAACAAAAAAAGAAAAGAGAGUAUAUAUUCUAUGAUGUUGUUUACUCACGAUAAUUUUGUAAGCUUGCCUUUUUUUCGAAACUUAUAUAGUCCCUCUAAAGGAGCUAAAAUAUUUAAAGCAUACAUACCUUUCCACUAUUCAUUAGUCAUGCUUAUGUUGGUGAACAAGAUUUAAACUUUGUUAAUUAGGUGACCCCUACACGCUUCUAUGUAGUUAUGUGAGAAGCAUAUUUCUCUAGAUGCGGAGUAAAGGAGAUACCGGAAGAAUGUAAAAUUAUGAUUUCGUGGAACUGUUUUUAUUAGAAUGACAUUAGAAUUAUGCUUGAUACUAACAUCCAGAUAUACAUGUAAUUUUUUUAAUAUCUACUCUAUACAAGGAGUGCAUGCAUGCCAAUUUCUGGCUAUCUAUAGGGCACCAAUAAAAUCGCAUGGGCUCAUCAUCUGGUGCAUGACUGAUGCGAGAGGAAGAAUCAGGAUUGAUAGCUUUGAAGAACCAGUGGAAAUGAAAGUAGUCAAUCUACCAAUGAACCUUAUCACCACGGGGGGAGGGGGGGGGAUAGUAUUCAAAAAAAGAAAUUGAGAAUCAUCAUAGCACACUAGAUAAAAUUAAUCUGAAUAUCCUAGAAUACCUCAUAUCGCUGAUUGUGACCUCAAGGUUACCAAAAUUUAUUUGGCAGUUCAGUACUUAUUAGGACCUGUUUGACCAUAAAAAUUAGUAACUUUUUCCUGGGAUAAUUCACUUUAUUUGAACUUCAGAAUCAUAGUCGAUGAUAACAUCACUAUGCCCAUCACUAUUACAAAAUCGUAUGUGAGAUUUUCACCUCAUAUGCUCUUUAGAGGUCACAAAUAAAUCUAUGGGUUCUUUCUUAUCUGGAUAUGUUAGUCCGAAAGUGUCAAAAUCUAUCUUAAGGUCCCAAAUUAGACCAAUGGAGUUCUGUCUGCUAUAUUUUAAACUAAUAAAUAAGUGCUUAUGAGUGAUAUCAUCUUUUAAGAAUUUUGAUUUUGCUUUGUUGAUUAAUAACUUUAUCAUUAAAUAAAAUCAAUAAAAUGCACUUUAUAGCGAUAUCACAUAUACAUUUCAACCUCGACUUUUCAAUUACUAAAAAAGAUUGGAGAGUCCAUUAGCUCAUGAAUCAUGAUAAUUUAUUUUAUAUCUCUAAAUAGAAAUCAAUUUUUUACUCUGAUGUUUGCAUUAAUCAAUCCGGCAUUCUCUUUUCUGCUUCAUCCACCACCACUCGUGUGGAGGCUUCUCUCUAAGUUGGGAUGCUCUCAUACUGAUGUAUUUUACAUCCCACGGUUUUGGCAGAUCGCUUAGCCUCGUCCAUCUUCGGCACAAGAGCGCUCAAAGGCCAUUGAAAAUCCCAAAAUGAAGUUGUAUAUCAAAUUCGAAAAACAUCUUCUCACCUGUUUCCAACUCACUUUUCGCUUUUGAAGUUGUAUUUAAGUACAUUCAAGUAUGAACACUUUUUCAAAUAUUCUUUUUUUGCAAAAAGUAUAACCAAACACAACUAUAUCGUCACUCCAGUUUCAUGAAUUCCAAACAAAGUGAAAAAUAUUUGGAAGCUAUGACCAAAUGCCUACCAAGAGUUUCUUUUGGCUUUUGAGUGGUCAGUAAGUAGGUGAUUGAAGGCUGUCUAGUUCCCUUAUUAGUAUGGUUAUUAUUACUUUCCUACUAUCAUAUAUUUUUUCUUAGUUUUAGUAUUACAUGUUAUUUCCUUUGCUUGGUUUUCAUAUUAUUUGUUGCUUCCGUUUGCUCUCUUUUAAAUAUUUUCAGUAUGACUUCUUCGCUAUUGCAUUUGCUUUACAUACUUGUUUUUUGAUACUUGAGCUGAGGGUCUAUGGAAAACAACCUCUCUAUCUUCACAAGGUAGGGGUAGGUUGUGCAUACACCAUCCUCCCCUCCCUAGACCUCACUUGUGAUUACACUAGGUAUGUUGUUGUCAGUUGGAUAAAGAGAUGAUUAGCAAUAUGUCUGCACACUUAAUUAAGUUGGAUGCAUGCAAAUUCAAAUGAGUUGAGUUCCUCAUAUGAGUGCUGAUGCAUCAUAAUCUCUAGAAUCAUCCUUCUUACAUGGCAUCUCACACGAUGAACGAAAUAAGAUAACUGUAUUGGAGGAACAUUGACACUGGUCAUUUUUAAGUUUUUCUUUUCCUGACUUUUUUCCUGUUUGGCCUUUGAAGAUUUAUGCCAUGGUGAAGGGAAAGCUUAUUUUAAUUUGUCAGUCUGGUGGUGAAUUUGUGAAUGAUGUCGAUGGAAACUUGUCAUAUAAAGGAGGAGAGGCAAAUGCUGUCAAUAUAAACCAAGAUACUCCAUAUGAUGAUCUCAAGAUAAAAUUGGCAGAGCUGUGUAAUCUGGAGCUUACGACAGUGUCAAUUAAGUAUUUUCUUCCAAAAAAUAGGAAAACUCUUAUUAAUUUAAGGAGUGAAAAGGACUUCAAGAGAAUGGUUGAAUUUCAUGCUAAUUCUGUUACAGCUGAGAUUUUUGUCAGCGGAAAAGAAGGUUUUGAUCACGAUGCAUUGAACACGUACAAUGAGAGGUAUUAACACUAUCAUGUUUUAAUUAUGCAUAUACAUUAGUUUUGCUUAUUGAUAAAUGUGAUUUGGUAACACGGGCCUGUUGCCAGCAACUCUAUAUUACUGCUAAAGCAAAUUGUUAAGUUAAUGGCACAUCACUGGUAGUGUAGUAUAUAUGUAAUUGACAUCCCGUUUGGUAUCUCAAUCAACUGCACUUGCAGGACAAUUGCCUUAAAACUGGCUGAGAACGUAAAUCAUCAUGGCACACCUGCAGGUGCUGCUGAUUCUGGCGGUCUGAGUACAACACCUUCUAAGGCUAGCCUGCUAAGGACUGUUCGAACAGCUGCUGUCUCUCCUAUAGCUAUUCAAAACGAUUGUCUGGUCGAUGUACAUAUCAGCUGCCAGGAACCUGCUAUUAAUAUGGCAGCUGAAAGCCUCAGUCAAACCACUACUUCGUCAAACCCUUCUUCUGGCCAUGUUGCUGAGGAGGAUUCUGACUAUGCUCCACGUUCACGUGCUGCUGUUAGUAGUACUGCCCAGAGCCCAAUUAGCUUUGACUACGAUGCUACCCCUGCUGAUACCGUGAAGAAGCGCAGGCGCACUGCUUCCUGGAAAAUUGGUGCCAAUGGUCCAACCAUUGUUGUGACUGAUAAUGAUUCUAAGGAGAAAUCGCGAAAGAAGAAGAGUCGAAGUUCAACUGGCGUAAUGGUGGGAAAUGACAUGGAGGAUGAAGAUGGUGUUGAAUUACCUGAUAAUUUUGACAGUUCCUCUCCAAUUACUUUGCGGGAUGAAGAUCUGCCAGAGAAGCUAGUUGCCACUUGGAAAGAGGGUAUUACUGGUGUUGAUCAGGAUUUUAAGAGUGUGAAAGAGUUCCGGGCUGCACUGCAAAAGUAUGCUGUUGCUCAUCGCUUUGUCUACAAGUUGAAGAAAAAUGAUGCUACCCGUGUAAGUGGCAGAUGUGUGGUAGAGGGUUGUUCUUGGAAAAUUCAUGCAUCUAGGGUCCCUGAUGCUCAAACAUUUAGGAUCAGAAAGUAUAAUGAUUUGCAUACAUGUGAAGGCAAAUCCUGGAAGUCUUCUCAUCGUACAAGGAAUUGGUUGGUAAGUAUCAUCAAGGAAAGGUUACGAGAUUCUCCAAAUGACAAACCCAGGGAAAUCGCUAAAAGCAUUUUGCGUGACUUUGGGAUUAAAUUGAGAUACUCACAAGUAUGGCGAGGAAUGGAAGAUGCCAAGGAGCAGCUUCAAGGUUCAUACUCAAAGUCAUAUAACAGGCUGUCUUGGUUCUGCGAAAAGGUAGUAAAUACUAAUCCUGGAACUGUUGUUAAGCUUGUGCUAGACGAUGAAAAAAGACUUCAGCGCUUCUUUUUUUCACUUCAUGCCUCCAUUCAUGGUUUCAAGCACGGUUGCCGACCCCUUAUUUUCCUUGAAGCCACAUCUCUAAGAUCAAAGUACAAGGAGACUUUAAUAACAGCAACUGCGGUUGAUGCAGAUGAUUGUUUCUUUCCUGUUGCUUUUGCAGUAAUAGAUAUUGAAAAUGAUGAUAGUUGGCGUUGGUUUUUGGAGCAACUAAAAUCUGCAUUGUCAACUUCUCAUUCUAUAACUUUUAUUUCAGAUCGAGAGAAGAAUUUAAAGAACUCUGUGUUUGAGGUGUUUGAGAAUUCUUCUCAUGGCUAUUCCAUUUUUCAUCUUCUGGAAAGCUUCAAAAGAAAUAUGAAGGGUCCAUUCCAUGGUGAUGGGAGAGCUGUUCUACCUGAAAUUUUCCUUGCUGCAGCUCAUGCAGUUCGACUUAAUGGUUUUAAAAGUUUGACUGAGCAAAUUAAACAGAUUUGUUCACACGCAUAUGAUUGGUUGAACCAGAUUGAGCCCGAGUGUUGGACGAGUUUGUCAUUUAAAGGUCAGCACUAUAACUAUAUCACAGAGAAUGUUGCAGAACCAUACUCCAAGUUGAUUGAGGAUUCUCGAGGAUCAACAAUAAUGCAAAAGAUAGAAGCCCUAAUAUGUAUGCUCAGUGAUCUAAUAGAUCAUCGUAAAUUGGAGUCAAGUACUUGGUCCACCAAACUUACUCCAUCAAAAGAGAAAAAGAUGCAGAAAGAAGCUGCUAAAGCCCACGGUCUAAAAGUUCUAAUCUCUUCUGAUGUCUUAUUUGAAGUUCAUGAUGAGAUGACUCACGUUGUGAAUAUUGAAAACCGUGAGUGCACGUGCUUUGAGUGGAAACAAAGUGGUCUGCCUUGCUGCCACGCUGUGGCUGUGUUCAACUCUAUUGGUAAAUCUGUGUAUGAUUACUGCUCGAGUUACUUCACGGUUGAAAGUUACCAUUUUACAUACUCUGCAUCUGUAAACCCGAUACCUGGGAUUGGAACAGCAGAUGAAGAAGAUGGCGAGUCAGAUACUGCAGAUGUGCUACCCCUUGCCCUCCAGAAUUGCCGAUAGAGGAAAAACCAGAGCAGACCAAAACUAUGGACCCAGAUAAGAGGACAGUAACUUGCAGCAAGUGCAAGGAACCAGGACAUAAUAAAGCUUCAUGCAAGGCCACUUUAUAGAUCCUUUGCUCCCCCCAUUGUUUGCAUCUUGUACAGCUCUUAUAGUUACAUGGUAGUGACUUGUGAUGUAUUGCUCAUCGUCGCGCUCUGAAUUUCUACAGUACCAUUAUCGAUUUAUUUUCAUUUGAAAAAACAUAAUUUCUGGGUUAUUGAACUCAGAAAGCAAGGUGUAAGAUAAGACGAUGGUAGUACUAUUUUUGGUCUCAAAAGGGUAUGAAAGCUCUUCUCAUAGCUUGCAAAAAUGAAUUUUAUAUUCAGACGAUGAGUUUGCGAAUUGUUGUGUUACACGGCAUGUAAUAAAUUCUCAUUUUUUUUUACUAGAAGUGGGAAUUGUUUUGCUCCAUUCACAACGAGGCUCAAGCAUCUCAUUCUUUUAGUUAAUUUCAUCCUUUAUUUAAUCAAUUGAUAUCUGUGAUUUACCUAGUUAGGAAUUUUUUACCAAGAUUUGAACUCGAAUUAGAUGGUCAGAAAAUCUUAUAUAUGUUUUUACCUAUAUUUUUAAAAGUUUGAAUUCAGUGGGAGACAUUGUUGUACUUCUUAUCUUUUUCUUGAAAAUCUUUGUAAAGUAAUUUUUUCUGACUUGUUCAAAUAAACAAAAGAUGAAGUGAUGAAAAUGUUAACAUCGUUUGAAACCAAAACUGAAAAGAAAACUCCACUCAAUUUAUGAUAAUAUAUGUGAAUUUUCUAUGACGUAGGUUUUCCUAUUUAUUUUUAAAAUUUUUCAUAAUUAUUCAAUUUUUAUCCAAACUAUUCGAGACUCAAAUCAAAUUGUGUAUUUAGGAUUUGUUACCAACCAACCCAGAGUACCUAACAACACAGCCUUCACCUACCCGCCACCCACCCACCCAUGAACUUAUACCUCUGCUCUUCUCCUUCAAGUGUUUCAACACAAAAACUAAGUCCAAAUUUGAGUCACCAAAAUCCUUCAUUUGAUUUGAGUACAAUUUGGGAGAUUUAAAGAAAAUGUCCCUUACUGAUUCAGUGCAGAACAAGCAGCUUGGUGUCAUCACCUGUAAAGGUUGCAUCUUUGAAUACCGUUUAUUUUUUUUAUUUUUUUUUCACUUUCUUCUUCUCUCUUGAUCAAGAAUCUGAUUUUGAAUGAACCCCAUUUUGAGUUACAUGUGUGUAUCCAUUCCAUUCAGCUGCUGUGGCAUGGGGACCGGGAGAACCAAUGGUGAUAGAGGAGGUGGAAUUGAGUCCACCUCAGUCAAUGGAGAUUCGUGUUAAGGUUGUCUGUACUUCUCUCUGUCGUAGCGAUGUCACUGCUUGGUUGUCACAGGUUUGAUCUUUACUUGAUCUCAAAUUUUUUCCCAGUAGGUCAACUGUCUGUUGCCAAUUUUAGGAUUGCAUAUACUAGGUGUUACUUAAAUGUCAAUAGAAAAAUGCUGGACUGGGACUGUUGUAACCUGUCGUUUCAUGAGCAUAGAAGGAAAUUUUAUGCUAUUGAAGUUUUAAAAUUUGUUGAUCAUGAUAAAGAGGAACUAUUUCUGCAAAUAUAAUAUUGGGUGCUCAAUAUGGGGAACUUGGACUUCAUUUUUUUUGAUGACCAUGGUGUCCGGCCAGCUUGCUUGCACCUCGACUAUUCUUCGGGAUGCCUUCCACCUCGUACUAGCAACAUGUACUAGAUAACUCUGUCCACGAAGGCCAGGACAAGUGUGAAGAAUCACCUACUGGAGACGAUCUGCUUUCUUAGAGAUAUAGUGAGGGUCUUAGCUUAGAAAACUAGCAAACUUAUCAAGAUAGCAGUUUCAUCUGAAUCUCAAUUGGGUUUGUGGAGAAAAUAGUUUGAUUCAAUCUCAUUGUGGGUUUUCCAAAGUAAAAUCCUGAAGUUUUAGGGGGUGGAGGGUAGAUGAGGGCAUGUAAAACAGUAAAGGCUCAAUCUUGGCCACUAUUUUCACUUUAUCUACUCUUUUUUCUCAUUUUGGCAAGUUUUGUACUUCUUUUCUGAGGAGCCCACCAGAAUUACUUUCUUAUUAUUCACGCCCGUUAGUGAAAUUUGUUGUCGUUUUCCAGGCUCAGGCUUCUAUAUAUCCUCGGAUAUUUGGUCAUGAAGCAUCAGGGUCAGUUUUCUAUACCUGCUCCUUCUAUUUGAAUGAUAAUGCUUCUUGUGUGUAAUUUAAGUAUGUAUCCUGCUUCUGAUAGAAGUUAUUAAAUGCAUACUGAAAAUUUUUAGAGAUAAUUCAGAGUUUUGGUACAUGUCUUGAGGUGGUGAUGCUUCUCCCCAAGGGACUAACGAUUACGUUGUGAGAAAGUAUAAAUGUAACUUUGUGUUGGAGUUGUCAGUUUGUCAAACAUGUAAUGCUUUCAUCUCGCGGUUUCAUCACCCUAAGUGUCUUCAUUGACCGACUCAUCAGAUGCUCUGUCCAUAAGAAAAGCAUUCUAUCAUAGACUGUGGCAUCACUUAGUGUACUCCAUAGAGUAAAAUGAACAUACUGCAAACUUCUGUGGCCACCUUGGAGUGCAACAGACGUGGUUGAUGGAUUUAAUAUUUUGUCAUUUCUGAACAGAGAAUCAAGCUUCAUUCUUGUUACUCAUUUUGCAGGAUUGUUGAGAGUGUUGGGGAAGGAGUGACUGAAUUUGUAGAAGGGGACCACGUGCUUACCUUAUUUACUGGGGAAUGCAGGAGUUGCAGACACUGUACCUCAGGCAAAAGCAACAUUUGCCAAAUUCUUGGAUUGAAACGAGAUGGUGUUAUGCAUGGUGAUCAAAAGACGCGGUUCUCUAUAAAAGGAAAGCCAGUUUAUCAUUAUUGUGCUGUUUCAAGUUUUAGUGAAUACACAAUUGUACACUCCGGUUGUGCGGUCAAGGUUAGCCCGAUUGCGCCUUUGGAUAAAAUCUGCCUUCUUAGUUGUGGAGCGGCAGCAGGUAAUUUGUGGAAUGCUGUUCAAUUCAAUCACAGCUGAUCUUUUUAUACUACUUUAUUACUCUUAAGAUUAUUUUGCUGUUAAAAACUCUUGACCCAAUGAUGGAAUUUGGCUACCCUUUCUGAUGGAAAUUGUUUUCUUCAAUUCCUCAUCAUACAUGUAUGGUUUUACUGAACUAUACUAAACUCAUUCACAUCAAAGAGGAUCUUUUUGAGAUGAACAACUAGUAUUCAACUUACUUUUGUUUGAUCAAGAGUAUUCUUACUUGAUGGCAUCAUAGACAGUCUUAACGUUUAAAAUGUUUCUGUCAAAAGGUUAAAUCCUUCCUUAGCUCUUAGAUGUUACAUUCAUUCUUAACAUAUUUAUACUUGUAUAACUUGGCAAUCCAUAAUGUUAACUUGUUGUUCAGAACAUUCCAAAUGUAAGGACCUCAUAAUUGAAAUGCAAUUAUCAGGUCUGGGUGCUGCUUGGAAGGUUGCAAACGUCUCUGAAGGAUCAAAGGUGGUCAUUUUUGGUCUUGGGACUGUAGGACUUUCUGUAAGUACAUUGAUCCAAGCUGAAGAAUUAGCAUAAUAUGGGAAAACUGUUUACCUGGAAAAACUUGACAAUGAUAAAUAAUAAAUGCUUAGAUAUCGUGUAAAUAGGUUGCACAAGGUGCUAAGAUGCGGGGAGCAUCUCAGAUUAUUGGUGUGGAUAUGAGGCAAGAGAAAUGCGAAAAAGGUAUCACAUGACAGACCUUUUACAGCAGUUGGAAAGUUGAAAAGUUUCCCGAGAUUAUUGAUGUUCUUCCCUUCCUGUGCAGCAAAGUCUUUUGGAGUGACGGACUUUUUGAACCCAAAUGAUUCUGACGAACCCAUUCCACAGGUGUUUUACUUUUCAUGAAAUAUACAACAAAAGCUUGUAAAUUAGUUUCUUUCUCCCAGCUAAUUAGUCACAAGUCUUACCAAUCAUGUUAGCUGUCUUGAACAACAUGGGAGCAUUACAACAACAGUUUCUACAUCUCAGUAUCACGCUAGUUAGGCCGACAAUAUGAAUUUUCAUAACCCAAUUUUCUGUGUUUGGAUAUGUUUCGUUGAAAUACACAAUGAUUUCUGGAUUAUCUAAUGCUAGAAGUUUUCUGCAUUUUCUAAUUUCUAUAUGGUGCAAUCUCCAAACAGAUUAAAAAGACUUGUAGCAAAUAGUAGACCUAAUAUAAGUUUUACCAAUAUGAUUAAUCUCUAAUCCAACUAGUUGGUAUCGCCUAUAUGGGUCUUUUGCUUCCUUAAAGACUACAUUUGAGUGGCCGUUGGUCUAUAAAGACAAUUUCCUUCUAGGUGGUCUUAGGUCUGCUUGAUGAGAAGAGAGAAAUUAGUUCCAUUAUCAAGUGCAAGACGCCUCUCUCUAACCCAAAUCGACCUAGACUAAUACUCUCCCUUUUUAACUCCUGGUACCAUACUUACAGAUUGGUACACUGGAGAUCAACAUAGUACACGAUCAGAUCAUCCUCUGCGUGUGCUACUUGCACAUUCACUGGAUGUGAUAAUUGUUUUCAAUCUUAUAUGAACACAUUUCCAUAUAAACAUCUGCUUUGUACAGCACUCAUUUUAUGGAGGGUUGGCCAUUAGAGACCCAGCAUUCACUCUUCUUUAAAUUGCUGGUCUUACUGAUGUUCUGUUAAACUUUGUCUCUCAUUUUGAGAAGUAUGUUCGCAUUGCAUAACACUUCUGUAGUACUCCUCAAUUUCAACAUCAUAUUUUAAUCUAAUGUUUUAUAUCUUCGUCUAUUGCACCAUUCACUUAAACCAUUGAGCUUAUAUUUGAAUUGUCUCAAUUUAUGUACUGCAAUCCCGUCUAACCUCACCUCAAUCUCGUCCUUCUUGUAAGGGAUAAAUCUGUAGAGUACUUUUUAAAUAGCAUACAAAAUGGACUAGUUCUAUUCAUGUUCAGGUUGUGUGUUUCCUUCUAUAAACUCCGGAUACAUUUUUCACUCCAGGUUAUAAAUCGCCUAACUGGUGGAGGUGCAGACUAUGCAUUUGAAUGUAUUGGAGAUACAGGAAUGGUUACCACUGCUUUACAGUCGUGUUGUGAUGUAAGUAUGAAGACUUCAUUUCAUGUACUCUUCGGUAUUCUCAGACAUACAUUUCUCUCUUUUUACCAUCAACUUUGUGUCGUCUCCUGUUUGUGUUAGGGAUGGGGCUUGACUGUCACACUUGGAGUACCCAAGCAGAAGCCGGAGGUAACAGCUCAUUUUGGACUUCUUCUUAACGGUAGAACAUUGACAGGAUCUCUAUUUGGAGGAUGGAAACCGAAGUCUGAAAUUCCUUCAUUAGUUGAAAUGUACCUAAAGAAGGUAGAUUGUUGCACUGGUUUUCACAACUUGAUGAAAAACCUUAAAACAACGCAUUCAUUUACUCCAAACGACUCUUCAACAUUUGAAUACUAAGCCAUUGUGAGGUUUUGCUUGCAGGAAAUCGAGUUAGAUGACUUGAUCACACACAAUCUGCCCUUCGAGGACAUAAACACAGCUUUCGAUCUGAUGAAAAAUGGGACUUGUUUGCGUUGCGUUAUACACAUGCCUGAAAUAGAAGGUUUUCCAAUGGCUGGCAACUAGUUGAAGUUAUUUCAUGCUUUCUGUUACCCCAAACUAUAAAUAGCCAACCACAAUGAACUACCAGAAAAUUUUGAUGUUGUACUAUAGUGUAUCACCGAGCGUCUUUCGAAAACAAGCUCUCUACCUCCACGAGGUAAUGAUAAGGUCUUGCGUACACUCUACUCUCUCUGUACCCCACCUAGUGGGAUUUUACGGGGCAUUUGUUGUUAUAGUAUAGUAUAAGAAAUCAUUUUCCUACCUUCUGUUAUUUUUUGAGAGGACAAUUUAUAAUAUCAAAAUGCAUUGACUGGUGAGAAUUGAAAUGCAAUUAUAUGAUCUCGACCAUAUAAUAUACCAAGUACACUUUUUUUGGUUCAUAAUAAAAGUGGAUUUUUCUAUCGAUAAUUUAUUUCAUUAUAAAAAACUUUGGAUGAACAACUUUAGAGUGAUUGAUGUGUCCACAAGAAUUACCAAACACACGAAAUAAGUCUGCAAAGUGCAAUUCUCAAGGAUACAAAAAGAAGUAUGAAGUUUGUGAGAUUGUAGCAAAUCUUUAGGGUGUUUCAACUUUUGGUUAAGAAUAAAUCUAAAUCAACCGUAUCAAUUAAAUAAAUUGAUUUUGUUUUAAUUUGAUUUUAAACUUUAAAAAAUUGAUAACAUUCUCUUUUAUUUCAUAAAAAAUAAACUCAAUAAAAAAUUAAAAAUCAAACCAAACUAAUAAAUAUAUAUAUAUAUAUAAUUUAUUAGCAAAUACAUAUAAAUCCAACUAGCUUCAACUUUUCUCUCUUUGAUACUCUCUGCAGAAGCUGCGAGCAUUUUCCAUAGUGAUUUUGAGUUCGAAUUGGAGAAAUAGUUUUAAAAUAUAUCGUCAAUGUCGACGGAGGAGGAAAACGCCAUUGAGGCGGCGGCAGCGGCGCGAAGGGAGAGGCUGAGAGCCCUCAGAGAAGCUCAAGAACUUCUUCAAACCCCUGACGAUGAUGGUAACAAGACUAAAGAAGAGGAAGACGAAAAGUAAGCACUACCCGUUUGUUUAUCCCUUUAUUCUUAGUUAAUUUGAUGUUAAUUGAAAAGUUGAUGUUACCGUCGAUUCUGUGUUCUGCAAAGAUACCUUGCAUUCUAGCUUUUUAGUCUGUAAGAGACAAAUCCUCUCGUAUUGGACCCGAAUAGGGGUUUGAAGCCCUAGCUCACUUGUUGAGCUCUAGGUCUCCGCAGUUGUGGUGGAAGCCUCCCCACCCCUCCGCUGAAGUAAUUUUAGAAACAAUAGACCUGAAUAGAGCAGAAUGGAGAGGUUUCAAGUCCCUCCUUUUGCUUCUGGCUUUGUAUUUAGUGAUAACAAUUCCAGUGCAUAAGCUACUUUAUAGAUAGGGUGAACAGCAAGGAGCCCACUUACAGGAAACUAAAUCUGUCUGACUAAUAUGUGGAAAGGGCAAGCGAAAACUGACUUCUGAACCAAGGGUAUAUCGGAAACGGACUUCUGCUCCACAGAGGUAGGGGUAAGGUCUAUGUACAGUCUUACACCCAUCCUCCACAGAUCCCAUUUGUGAGAUCUCAUUGAGUAUAUUGUUGUAGUGUACUUAUGAAUAGAGCAGGCGAAUUGAGUUUACCAAAAAUUGACUCAGGACUAGUUUUGGCAUAAUAUUGAUUGGUUGAUAUAUAUUACAGUGAUGUCCAAAUGAAGUUCCGCAAUUACCUGCCACAUGACAAGCAGCUUCAAGAAGGCAAAGUCACUCCGCCAGUACUUCCAAAGUUCGAAGAUCCUAUUGCGACUCUACCUCCUCCCGAAGAGAAGAAAGAGGUGCUUCAGUGAUUGCACUAUUUAUUUCCUUCUGUUUUCUUCCUCAUUCAUAUUAGUUGUGUUUACUGUCAUGACUUUUCUUUGGUUGAAUUUUAUCAGGAUCCAUUUCUAAAUAUUGUCCCCAAGAAGCCAAAUUGGGACCUGCGACGGGAUGUGCAAAAGAAACUUGACAAGCUUGAGAAACGUACCAUGAAGGCACUCACUCAACUUAUGGGUACGUCUUUUCUGCUCAUUUUGUGUUAUUUGACUCUCAAGUAUGUAAUGGCCAUGUUCCAUAGCAUUUAAUUUUUUUUGGUUAAGUCUUGUCCCAUAGAAUUUGUUAAAAGUAAUUUAAAUUGAAAAAGGAAAAUCAUGUGAUUACAUUUUCAUCUCUUGAAGAAGUCUUAGCUGAGAUUGUUCCUUGAGUUUGUUCCUUGUACUUCUGUUGUUUGUAAGAGUAAGAACAUCUGACUGGACAUGACACAAAUAACUAUUUCAAUAUAUAUCUUCCUUCAUAAAAAACUCUCAUGAUGGCCCAUUUGUACUCCCAGUAGGUUUACUUGCAGCGGUUGGGACUUUGCUUUGGCAAGCUAUUAAAUGCACCACUUGGAUGCUCCUUUGUGAAUUGAGAGAACUCCAGUAGCACUGAUCUGUGAAGUUGUUCUGACAGUAGACUCUUAAUAAACAUUACAUACAGAAAUAAAUAUGGAAUAGGAGUGACAUGCUCUUAUAGCUAUACGUAUGUCAUGACAUAUUUACGUGCACAAGUUUUAAGGAUACCUGUGCUAUGUUAUGUAUAUUCAACUUAUGUGUCAAAAGUCUAUUUUUUCUUAAACUCCAUUCUCAAUUAAACACUUGAGGAGUAUGUCUUUUCAAUUUUUAUUUUUUUUUAGAAAUUUGGUGUCUUUUCAAUUUUUAUUUUUUUUUAGAAAUUUGGUAUAGCUAUAAAUUUAUCCGGAAAUCUAACAAUGGUUCAAGUAAGUUCGGUUCAAUAGGCUUGGCCAGUUUCUAAAGUUUUUUUAACGUUCCUAGGUAGUGCUGCAUAUGGUUACUCCGUAUUUUUUAGUCUUUUGGCUCCUUCAAUGUUGGUCAUUAUGGUUCCCUCUAUAUUGAUGACACUUUCUGUGUUGAUCCACUUUUGAUUCACCUCCGUUGUGCUCGGCUAUUUUCAAUCAGUGUCUAUAAUGCAGCCUUUUGGUGCUCUGAAUCUUGAAAAUGGGCUACGCCUUUGGUCCCACAUAUUUUUCUAGGGUUAUAGCUCAUUAGGUAACUGUGGAUCAUUUAGUAAGAUCUUCUUCUAAUCAAAUUGGGUUUCCUUGGAGCCUUUCUCUUCUAAGCCUGGUUGUGAGUUGUGACCCCCCUAAUUGUUUCCAAGUUAUAUAGCUUAUUUUUUUAUGAAUAAAAGUAAUUUAUUACUAAUAUCUUAGUACCAAGGUGGUACUAAGCGAGUACAAAAAGAAAGCUGGAUAGAAUCCUUAGUAGCCGCAAGGAUUCCCAGAAAAUCAGCUUCAGUGCAAGAAAAUGUAACUAUUAACACAAACAAUAAUCUUUUAAACAAAAGAAUAGAGAAAGCUAUAGUUAAGUUGUACUCAUCAAAUCAUGUCAAUCAAGCUAGAAAAAUAUUUUAAGGAAUGUUGAUCUAUAUUUUAAAGUAUUUUUUUGCUAGUCCUAAUCUCUGAUGUUUAGUCAUAACGAUUUCUUAACCAUUAAUGUAUCACUUUGUUUUAUAUUACUACAUAGUUAUGAGCUCUUAAUGACAUAGCCCAUCAGUGAAGGGCCAAAGAAAUGCAUUCUUUGCUCAACCUAGACUUAGUGAGAUUUAUGGCGUAAACAUGCUUUAAGCGGGCCUUUCAGCAAUAUUGUCUGCAAGUGAUCCCGAUGAUAGCAAAAAGAUAGCAAAAAGAAUAAUUGUGGCAUUAAUUUUGCACUCCACGUUCUGCCAAUACAUCUUAUUCUUUAGCACCUGUGGAGGGUUGAAUACCUAUCACUACGUUUUUAGGCAAGUCAGCUUUCUACUUAAAGUCUAGCAAACAUUUGGCCUAGAUUGAAGUGCUGUAGUUGUAUCAGACAAGAGUGCAUGUCCAGUUGGAGCCACUAUUGACUUUAGAGAUGCCAUAUGAAACCAAUACAGAAUUAACAUUGUCUAAUCCAAAUAAUUCUGGAAUACUCUCCCUUGCUUUACUUAAUUCCUUUGUAUAUUAAAAGUUAAAGGGGAAUCUUAGUAUUCUAGUUGAGUGGGUCGUAGGGGUCGAUCCCUACUUUGUAAUCCCAUCCCAGAUUUCCCCAUUCCCCUGUGCAAUUUUCUUAAAAACAAAAGUGUGAUCAAGAAAAUGCAUUUGGCAGCCCCCAAGGCCUAGCUCGAGUGGCAAAAGUGGAGGAUUUGUGGCUUAGGUAGCAGGUUCAAGCCCCACAAAAUGCAAAGUGAAGUCCGGUAUUUAAGUGGAGAAGGGUAGAGCGGUGGGUUCAUUAUCCACCGAGUUUAGAAGGCUGUGAUUGAUCCAAAGGACGGGUGAUAGACGGAUUUCUCGGUUAUAAAAAAAAUGCAUCUUUGGCAGAUUAUGGAAUAGUUCUCUUGAGAAUCCAACCUGGAAUGCUUUUAAUCUUAUCUUGAUCUUUUACCUAGGUUUGAAGGUCUAUUUAUUCUUUUUCUUUUUUAAAUGAAUAAGAUUGAAGCAUAUUAUUUUAUUGAUUUUGAGGCAAUUGUUUCAUGUGUUAGUUUUGUCCCAGCUACCCAACUUCGAAUUUUUCUUGACUUGUCUACAUUGAUAUUUUGUAGAGGAAGAAGAAAAGAAGAGGAAAAUAGCUGAAGAAGAGGAUACUGAAAAUGGUGGAGAUUAGAUAGAUCUUCACCAAUAAUACAAUACAUUGUGGUUUUGGACAAGUGCUGUAUGAGUAUUAUAUUUAUUACAUCUAGUCUUUUUGACUGUGAGACGUUGUAGCGAGUGUUGUUAAAAAUAUGAAUACAGGUUAAAUGUCCAGAAUAUAUUCGUAAACUUUUGCCAAAUACGAGAAUCAUCUGAUCUUUUUUAUAUACUGAUUAUACUAAGAGAAAAUAAACUAGCCUCUCAACAUUUGUAGAUGCUGAGAAUUGUAUGCUUCGCCCCCGUUGGGACACUUAUUAUGUCCUUUUGGUUCCCCUCGAAGAAAUAGCUUAUGUACAUACUAGGUAAAUACUUACUGACCUUGACCAACAUGGUAGUAUCAUUCACGACUUAUUUUAGUUAAGACUAAAGUUUGAACAACUCUUUUAUUAUUCAAAUUGACGAUAUCCAUAGGCUCUUGAUUAGCCAAACUAAUCAUAAACUUCCUAAAUAGGCAGAUGAAGAGAAGUGGAAACCAUUUUUGGCUUCCGUUCAAAGGAAAACAAAAAGAAUGGGGGAGUUUGUCAGACAGCCAUGAGACCAUCUUAGGCUUGAGAUCAGGUCUAAGAACGAUCAUCUACUGCAACCAACCACAACUUGAGGAGCCAUGGAUGACUGUUAAUCACGCUCUGGUCACAUGGCAGAUGAAGAGAAGUGGAAACCAUUUUUGGCUUCCGUUCAAAUGGAAAACAAAAAGACAGCCAUGAGACCAUCUUAGGCUCGAGAUCAGGUGUAAGAACGAUCAUCUACUGCAACCACAGCUCAAGGAGCCAUGAAUGACUGUUAAUCACGCUCUGAUCACAUGGCAGAUGAAGAGAAGUGGGCUUCCGUUCAAAAGGAAAACAAAAAAAAUGAGAGAGUCUGUCAGACAGCCAUGAGACCAUCUUAGGUCUGAAAUUAGGGUCUAAGAACGAUCAUCUACUGUAACCACAGCUCGAGAAACCAUGGAUAGCUGUUAAUCACGCUCUGGUCACAUGGCAGAUGAAGAGAAGUGGGCUUCCGUUCAAAAGGAAAACAACAGCUCGAGAAACCAUGGAUAGCUGUUAAUCACGCUCUGGUCACAUGGCAGAUGAAGAGAAGUGGGCUUCCGUUCAAAAGGAAAACAAAAAAAAUGAGAGAGUCUGUCAGACAGCCAUGAGACCAUCUUAGGCCUGAGAUUAAGGGUCUAAGAACGAUCAUCUACUGUAACCACAGCUCGAGAAACCAUGGAUAGCUGUUAAUCACGCUCUGGUCACAUGGCCAUGCUUCAUCAACCAGACUUGGAUUCCUGUCUCCUUAGAAUUCAAGGAUACAAUGGUACGAGCCUAUAGAACAGAUCCUGUUCAAGUAAGGUCGUGACCGUUGAUAGUGGAUAGAUUCUUAUAACGCUAGAGUUUAUGUGCUGCACUGCCGAUGUGGGAACAAUAUAUUGGCCCCUGACACACCUACGCCGACUACAACGCAAUAUCUCUAAGGCUAAAGUGCAAUUAAAGUAAUAAAAUUUAUGUCGUAUUUCAGUUUUUUAUUUGUUAUAGAAAAAAUAACAAUUACGCAUUAAUUUAUAUUUUUAACGUGUGGACAGUUAAUUUCGUAGAAACCGUUCCAAUUCCCAGUAGGAAAAACUCCAUAGCAGUUGCCAUGAACUCCAUAAUAAUUCACUUGUAAAGUUUCAUAGUUUCUCAUUCAAUUCAAUCUUCAGUAGAGUCUGAAAAUAAUGGCUCCAAUCAAAGUGACAGUAAGUAAUUCAGAGGAACGCCACACAAUGCUCUCAGAGUAUAUAAAAUCAAUAGCAUUCAAGAAACAACAGAUAACAAAAGUAUUCCAAAAGGGGGAUAAAAUUGAAGUGGCAAGUCAAGUAUAUGGCUUCGUAGGUUCUUACUACGAAGCAACUAUUGUUUCUUCAAUUGGCGCUUACCAUUACAAAAUCAAGUACAAGAAUCUGUUGACUGAUGAUGAAUCUGCACCACUGGAAGAGAUGUUCACUUCAGCCGCGAUCCGCCCUGUUCCGCCUCAUCGAGAUGAAACAAUGUCAGAAAACGGAUUCCGUCUGUACGAUAUGGUUGAUGUGUUUGCCAACGAUGGAUGGUGGUUUGGAUUUAUCAGUGGGAAAAUCGGAGAAGAGCACUAUGUCUACUUCCCUACAACUGCAGAUAACAUUGCAUACCCUCGCGAUGUAUUGAGAUUUCAUCAAGAAUGGUCUAAUGGCAAGUGGAUAUUUCUUCCAAGACCAUGAAAGAUUUUCGAUUUGCACUGAUCAUGAUUUACAGUAAUGUGAUAUGAAGUUACUGAAUCUUUCUCCUUUAUGUUAAGAAGAAUAAUUCAAGUUUAGUCCCAAAAGAUUUCUAUUGAGGAAAUAGUGGAUGAAAUAUUUUGUAGUUUAUAGUGAGAAACAAGAAUCUAUGAUUUGUUACUUUGUUUUUAGCCUUGAAUUGAGCUAGGGAUGCAUUUAUGCUCAAGAAUUUAGUUAUAAGGUACUCUCUAUCCCUAUUUAUUUGUCUAUAUUUCUUUUUAUAUAUGUCCAUAUUUACUUGUCCAUUUUAACAAAUCAAGAAAACACAACAAUUUUUUUCCUAAUAUGUCCUUAUUUAAUUCUAGAAAAUUUCUAGUACUACUAAGUUUUAAUAUGCUUUUUUGGAACCAGAAAAUAUAUUUAUUAUACUUGAGGAAUUGCAUAAUUUUUCAAAUUAAAGAUAAAAUUAUAAUGAACCUAUGAUAAUAAUUGAUGCCUUAAUGUGCGUGACAUUUCUAAAGUGAAUAACGAAAUAGGAACAGAGGGAAUAGUUCAUAAGCGAGUAUAACUAGCCCCUUAAUAUUAGUAGAUGCUGAAAAUUGUAUGCUUGGACCUGUUGAGAUACAUUGCAUGUCCUUUUGGUUCAUCUCAGCUAAAUAUUUGCUCGCUAUACUGACCUUGACCAACAUGAUAGUAUCAUCACUAUUUCUCUAACUCCGUUAAAAGUCGAGUAUCAUCACGAGCACGAGAACAAAAAGAAGAUGAGUCUGUCAGACAGCCAUGGGACCAUCCUGGGCCUGAAAUCAGAUCCAAGAACGAUCAUCUACUGCAACCAGAGCUGAGAAACCAUGGAUAGCUGUUAAUCACGCUCUGGUCACAUGGCCAUGCUUCAUCAACCAGACUUGAAUUCCUGUCUCCUUAGAAAUCAAGGAUACAAUGGUACGAGCCUAUAGAACAGAUCCUGUUCAAGU
This 69807-nucleotide long non-coding RNA is filed under the name Solanum lycopersicum (tomato). RNAcentral's name for it is "long non-coding RNA (SLYC_LNC000340)". The record is from RNAcentral. Lineage: Eukaryota; Viridiplantae; Streptophyta; Magnoliopsida; Solanales; Solanaceae.